UUUUUUUUUUUUUUUUUUUAAGUUGCUACAUGUGCAUUAUGUUUUAGAAAAGCAUAGUGGAACAUUUAUGGAACAAAAACAUAAGUGAUAAAGUAUGAUGUAUCCAUGAUACACAUGCUAAGCCAUACUGUGUUGCCAAUUUUCAAAGAAUAAGCCUGGUUUAUUUUUUUGGUAUUGUCAAUAUUAUGUCCGGAAUUAACUUCAAUAGUACAAGAAGACAGGUAACAUAGUAUUGUAAUUUUUUGGGGAUCAAAACCAUGAGCCUUAAGAUCUCCCAUGACCUAUUAAAUGAUGAAACAAUAACAGCAUGCAUAUCUGAAAUUCAAGGAUUUCAUACCUGCUUCUUGGGUCCCAUUGAGAUAUGAAACAUGGAGGAGAGAAAGUUGAUUGAAGGUUUCUUCCCCUGCUGUCCCCCCUACCAGUCUACCCUAUGAUGGCCUUCCAUCCAGUGGGAGGGAGAUGAGAGAAGAGUGCUGGCGAGAAUGGGGAAUGGUGGUGCAAAAUGAGAGAGAGAAUGCAUAAUCUCUAAAUAGUUGUCCCUCACUAACUGAAUAAGUUGAUCAAAUUAUGUUCUAUCAUAGGACCUCAUUAGUCCCAAAAAAAUGAUCCAAUGGCCCUCUCUCCCUCUCUGUCUUCCUCCCUGUGUAAUUUCAUUGGAUGUUCCCAAGAGUGAGACCUUUCAGCAUGGUAUAAGUUAGAUUUGGGUACCACCCCCUAAUGAAAUGCCAUAAUAACCCUUAAUAAAGUACAUUAUUAACUACAAUUCUCCAUCUUUGUCGUCACUCAUAAAAUUUGAGAUUACUACUGAGUGGUCCAGAUUUAAGCACUCUCACUAAUACAGCCAUCGGAUAUAAUGAAUUCCACAAUUAUGAAUUAAAAUCAGAAAGAAUUUGAUAAAGAACUAUCUAUAAGGCCACGAAAUAGUCCUAUCUAGUAUUUAUCUUUCGCUAUAACUCAUUUGGGUUAUGAGGCAGUAUUUAUUAGACUCAUGUUGAGUGUGGGUGACUUUGUUUUGAUUGAAGAUGACUUCACUAAGACCUUGCCUUGUGUUAUUGUUUUACCCUCAAUUUGUAGUUGACAUCUCUGUCUUUUGUUAGGAUAUGGGGAUUUUGUUUUGAAUGUAUGUCUUAUUUGUGGAUUUGUCACCUAAGGUGAGCAUUGCUUUAAGGUGAUAUGGUGAGCAUUUUCUCAGUUAAAUUAAUUAGUUGCAUGGAUGACUCUUUUUCUCUUUCGGUUAUUCCUUCCUACUAAUAGUGUCAAAAUCCUCAAUAAUCUAGGAAUUGGAAGUACAAUAGCUUGAAAAGAAUCUUGCCUCCUAGAGGAGUACUUAUUUGGGUGGAAGGUAUGCACGUGUAAUAUCCACUCUCUAAUUUUCCUAUCUAUAUAUCUUUUCUCCACGACUAAUAGUCUAACGCUUGGGAGAGAACUGAUUUAGGAGCAAGCUUUGCAAUUAAAAUUCCACUAUUUCUUGUUUUCUUUUUAUCACAUUUCCUUCCGGAUGCAUUUAGUGAAUGUUUGUGGAGUUGAGAAAUCACAAAGAAAUUUUCUUUUGACAGAUGUUGAUGGGUGUUUGUAGAUCUUGCUGUCUCCAUACUCAUACAUGGGUUUAUGUUUAAGGGUAGGGAUGCAGGAAAUUGAAAAUUUGCUCAUUAAGGAAGAUGAAAGCAACAGUUUAGGACAUGAAGUCAGGUUGACAGCUGGUCAUAAAAAUCUGUCGAUAACUAUGAUAUGCAUCCAGAUUUGUUAUGCGUGAGCAUUGGAGUAUUCCCUAUAAAUAACAUCAGAAGUGGCUGUAAAUAGAAAUAUUGGGUAAAUGAGGAUCUUUGGUGCUGACUCCAAAUAGUUGAGAAAAGGCUUGAUACGUGAAGAUCAAUCCAGGAGCAUGGGUACUCCAAAACACUAGUUGUUUGUAUCAAUACAUGUUGACAUUGAUGCUGGGUACCAACUAGAUGCAUCUCCAGCACAGAAAUCUGUCAUGAUUUUUUAUAAUUAAAAUGUGGUCAAGAUACUUGUGAAAUGCAUCCCAAUUUUCCUGGGAUGCUUCUAGUGUUCUUUAAAUCUGCUAGCUCUUUACUGAGCUCAGGUAAAGCGGGUUUAUAACCCAGAUUUGUAUCCAAUAACUUAAGCUAAAUUAAGCUGGUCUCCAUCCUUUCCCGUGCAAUAAUCUCUUAUCUAUGUGAAGAAGAGGGAAGAGAGGAAGAGAAGAGUGAGAGGGAAAGGGUGUCUGUGGUAGGAAACUGGCAGCAAGAAACAGGCAUUACAGCAGCAUAGCUGGUGUACAUUGGGCAAUGUUCUUUUCCUUGGUUCUUGAUUCUUCCUACAAAACCUUUUGUUUUCCCCUCAUUCUUCUUUGUCAUGAAUGGAAAUCAUUUUUUCUUUUGGAUUCUCGAAUUUCUUCCCUUUCCUGCACUUCCUACUUUUCAUGAUGGUUGGGUUUCUUGGUAAGGUUGGAGGAUUGAGGGACCUAAUGUUCACUCUUAACUCUUUAUCUCAACAUCUGUUGCGAUUUAUUUUUAAUUAUGUGGCUGCUUUUUUUCCUGGGAUAAUAGAAUGUUUGCUGCAUUUAUUUGUAUUAAUGUACAUAUGUUUCAUUAAUUUAUUUUAUGAGGCUGUGCUUAUUAUUUGUUAUGUUGCUGAUUAUUUUUCUGGAAUAAAACGAACCUUGAUUCAUAUAUUGUUACUGUUUUUUACAGAUCUGCUGCAUAUAUUGUUAUCAUAAUAGACAAAAUAUACUUUUUGUGGAAGAAAAUGUUGUUAUCAUGGGACAUAAUGUUGCAUUUUCAUGCUUUCAGUAAAAUAUCUUUGUGAGGUGGAAAAUCUCUUGAAUGACAGAUUUUUUGCCAAAGUUAGACUAAAGAAUUUUCUUGUGAGCAUUCAGCUUGGGCAAACCCCUAAAAUUCUCUGUCAUGAUUUAGGGUUGCUUGCUAACAAUGAAGUGUGAACAUCAUGUCUGGUUCAUAGGAAAUUUAAUGAUAAGAACAAACAUUAUAGAAUGUGGACAGCAGCUACACAUCAAUCAUCCUAACAACCUUAUAGAAGUUUAAUCCUUUGUUAUAUGGAGGAUGUGCAAGUUUGUGCACUGAGAUCUUCAAGUGGUCUUGGAUCAUCUGCAAGAUUUACCCAAAAAUAAAGAUGUUAUCAAGAAAUCUGAUUUUGUAAAAAUUGUGAUCUUUGAAAUAUGUGGAUUCCUUUACAAAAUACUUGUGAAAUUUCUACAAGUCUACUUUCCUAAAUAGGUUAAGAAAAGACCAUUGGAUAGGGAGCACAAUCCUUAUGAUUCUCCUUCCUAUUUUUUAGUUUUCGCUAUCAACAAUGAAAUGAUUCUUUGGGGUCUUAUGCUAAAUUAGUGGAUACAUUGAGGAACUUAAAAAUAUGAAGAAACCUUAGCAAAGUUGGAGAGAAUUAUCACUAAGGUUUUAAGUGCCAGUCUUUCAAGUGUCAGGCUAGUAUUGGCGGAGGGUCAGUAUAGCACCUACCAAUAUUCUUUAAUUGAAAAAGCUGUUUAACUUCCUAGACUUUUUGAAUAUUUCUUUUAGCAAGGCUCGGCACCAAAUAUCAUGUGUUGUGUUGGCUGGUGACAGACACUUCCGCCAAUAUCGGUACUUGAAACUCUUUAUGAGAGUAGAGGAACAAUCCUUAAAUUCUUUUGUCCAAGUUUUUAGUGUCGGUCGCAACCAAUGAUGUGGUUCUUGUUGAUUCUUAUGAGAAAAUUUUGGGUACAUUUCUUGGAGGUUAGAGAUUGGGGAAAAAAAUUUAGUGCAUGCUUGGUAUUGCUUAAAAAAAGUGCUUUUUCAAUUUACAAGUAGAAAAGUACUUCAAAGAAAUUAAGUGUUUGGUAAUAUCGUUUGGGAAGUGCUUCUCCAAGAAGUAGAAGCCAAAAGAGCACUUCUAAAAGAAGCUAGAAAAAAUUAGCUUAUAGUUUGUUAGAUUUCUUCUUGCCCUCUAAAUAUAGUAAACCUGUUGAUAAAGUAAUUCUACGGUAUGUAAGUACCAAACAACAAAUAUUUCAGUACUUUCUAUUUGAGAACUUAAAUGAAUGUGAUUCUGUAAAAUGACUUCUUAAAAGUGUAAAGCAAUGCCAACCAUGCCUCUAGCAAGGUGGAAGAAAGCUAUAUCCUUAUUUUCUUAACAAGGAACCUUGCAAGGUUGAAGAAUACUAUUAUCCUCAUUGAUAUACUCAAGGGUUAGUUCAGUAGAAUCAAUUUUAGGGAACCUUUUAUGAUUCAAAACUAAUGGAUUUUAACUUCAGCCAACAAAUAUCUCCAAAUCUGAUGAUAGAGAUAAGAUGAAGUGUGAAUCUUAUGUAACCACUCAAGCGAUUUGCAGGAACAGAUCAAAGUUAGAGAUAUUAAAUAAAAAUAAAGCUUAAAGUUCUGUUAAAAAAAAAAUUCCCAACAUUACCUAGAAAUUUCAAGCAAAGAGGAUAUCAAAGCACCAAAACCUAGUAUUUUUAGGUUAAUAUUGGAUUAGGCUCCCAAGUAGGAUUUUAGGGCCUGUCUGGUGACAAAGAGGCUCUCACAAAAUAGGAACAAAGAUGAAAGAUAUGGUGAUUUAGUGGAUAUGAGGAUUUUGCUGUUAGCGAAGGUGCAUAUGUGCACCUCCAUGGCUUAUGGUGAAAGAACCAAGCUGAGGAAAGCUUGGUCUAUGCAACAUGGUGAUGCAAUAAGGAGAAGAGGAAGAAGCCAGCAAUGGUAGUAGCCAACAAAUCGCUGUCAAAACUCCAAUUUCUUUGAUGCAACCACCUCUUAAAUGGCCUACUAAGGUUCCUAGUCAGGCAUGGAAACUUCAAAUCACAUGCCAUAUUCAUAUCAAAUACAUGUUAGAUGCUGAUACCUUGUGGAUACUUCUCGGAUAUACUUGUGUAAAAUAUACUGUUUUUCAAAGUUCAAAAAAAAAAAAAGAAAACAACGUAAGUUACUUCUCAGAACACUCUAAUACUUCCCUGAUAUUUCCAAAUGAGGGGGAGGGCAUUCUUUUUUUGAUAUUAACCUUUUAAUGAUGAAUAGCCAGUUUUGUAGCUUAUAAUAUUAAUAGGUAAAGGAUGCAUUGUCAAUUUUUUAAUUUAUAGCAUUAAUAUGAAAAUGUGAAAUAUUGGUUAGGGUUGUUGAAUGAUCACGACAUGAUGAACUUGGAAAAGCUGGUACUGUCAUGUGAAGGAUUGGAUUAUUUUGAUAGCCUACUAUACUUUAUGGAUGCUUUUUUUUACAUGCAUGUCUUUAUAUACUUGUGUAUAUUUGUAUGCAUAUAUGAAUGUGUUAGUCAUACAUUACACACAUGCACGCUCAUGGAUGUAUCCUAUCUUACGUGUAUCCAACAUCUGUGUCCGUGCUUCAUAAUUCAUAAGGGAAAUGUGGGAGGCGUGAUACUAAAGAUAGCUUGAGAAAAUGUUGGUUAAAGGGUGUUCAUACUCUAUUUGUGCCAAUUCUUGGCAAACCCAUGUUAUUUUUGUUUCUUUAAGAAGCUUCACUCUCGUUAUUAGUUUCUUGACCUUCAUGUUACUAUUGGGAUUUCUGGAUUGCGCUCGGUUUUUACAUUACCUUUUGAUUUCUCUGCCUUCUUGACAAGUGUUGUGUCUUUUUCCUGAUCAACUGAAGCGGAAAGUUCUAGUUUAGAAGCAAAUAAUUCCUUGAUUGUAAAUUUUAUCAUCAGCUAUGCUGUCUUCCUCACUGGCCUUAUCUUGGCUAGUGGUUGCUUGUGUUUCUGUAUGCUUUAUUGCAUUUGAUGGCUCAGGCAUUACCCCCCCCUCUCUCUCUCUCUCUCAUGUUUUCUAAGCUUGACAAUUGGAGUGCAAUUUAGAUUUCGUGAUAAUGUAAUUGUUAGUGCAUCAUGUAACUGAUUGUAUUGAAGGAUCCAAUAAUAAUGGGUUGUUGUUGCCUAUUAUCUAACUGUGUGUCCUUGCUUGCAUCGGCAAUCUUCCAUGUUGGCCAUGCAAAUGUUGUGUAGGUAGAUUCUUCCUGCUUCUUUUGUUGAUGCUUACUGAACUAUCUAUCUUUCUGCUUCUUUUGAUGAUGUUUACUGAACUAUCUACUGGCCACAAUAUAUAUAUAGACAUAUAUAUACACAUGUAUGUACAUAUAUAGAGACACACAUGUAUGUAUGUGAAUAUAGACACACACAUGUAUGUAUGUGAAUAUAGACAUAUAUAUACAUGUAUGUAUGUGCAUAUAUACACAUAUAUACAUGUAUGUAUGUGCAUAUAUACAAAUAUAUACAUAUAUGUAUGUGCAUAUAUGUGUAUAUAUAUAUAUGUACACACACACACAUACAUAUACAUAUAUAUAUAUACAUAUAUAUAUAUAUAUAUAUAUAUACACACACACACACACUAUACAUAUACAUAUACAUAUAUAUAUGUUACUACAUACAUACAUAUAAUAUAUAUNNNNNNNNNNNNNNNNNNNNNNNNNNNNNNNNNNNNNNNNNNNNNNNNNNNNNNNNNNNNNNNNNNNNNNNNNNNNNNNNNNNNNNNNNNNNNNNNNNNNNNNNNNNNNNNNNNNNNNNNNNNNNNNNNNNNNNNNNNNNNNNNNNNNNNNNNNNNNNNNNNNNNNNNNNNNNNNNNNNNNNNNNNNNNNNNNNNNNNNNNNNNNNNNNNNNNNNNNNNNNNNNNNNNNNNNNNNNNNNNNNNNNNNNNNNNNNNNNNNNNNNNNNNNNNNNNNNNNNNNNNNNNNNNNNNNNNNNNNNNNNNNAUAUGUAUAUAUAUACACAUACAUACAUAUAUUUCCUUCUUAGGCAAACAUUACUUGUUCUAUGAUAUUUAGGCCUUUGACCUAUUGAUAUUGGUCUCUUUGUGGUUGAUAAGAGUUGCUUUUAAUAUGAAUGACACUUCUAAACCAUGUCCUUUGAGAAUGUAUGAGUUAUGGGUCAUUUCUUUGGCAGGUUUGGCACUGGGCCUAUUUCACCUGGCAAAACUGUCGAGGGAAAAUUGGAGGAGCAGAAAAGAAAGGCACGGGCAGAGAGGUUUCAACUUGCUUGUCAUUGUCGAAAUCAAUUGUGAUUAGUUCUCUUUCCAAAUACAUGGAUCACUAACAUGUUCAUUGCUCAUUCUCAGAUCAUUGGUAAUCUACUAGACAAGCUUUGAGGCAUCAUCUUUUGUCAUUUCUCAGGUUUGGGCUCACAGGAUACUCUCCAGCUGAUGAGGAAGCAAAGAAGAAGGCUCGAUUGGCAAGAUUUACACACAACCCCAAACCUGAUGCUUUGGAAGAAGAAAAAAGAAAGGCAAGAGCAAUCAGGUAAAUGCUUAAUCUUUGUAAUUCUGGCUUGUAUUUGCUGAGAUCCUGCUGACAUGAUGCAUAAAAUGAUUAUGGUGAUCUUUGUGAUUGUGGCUCAAGCUGGUUCCUUGCAUGAUAUUAUGCCUUUCAGGUUUCCAGUCACAUCGAAUUCUUCUCCUCAAACCAAUGGCGAGGCCAAAUCUGAAUCGGUAAUGAUUUAAUGGUAGUUCAGCUGACUGGAUGGGAGAUCAAUGAACUAAUAUCUGCUGAUGAUUCUGACAAGCUUUCUUUUCCACAUUCAAACCAGAACACAACUGUGGCUAGGACUGGAGGAAAGACAUGAGAGCUGAUAUUUCAGAGGUAAAUGAAGCUUCUGGCUGCUUUUCUGUGGUACUAACUGCCUUGAUAUCAUCAUCCUUGUGCUGACCUGCUUGUAUCGUUUGUUUUUUUUGGCAUGUAUGACGCGCUGUCUUGCAAAGAACAUGGUUUGGGUAGUGAUAUACCUAUUUUGUAGGCAAGCAUAGGUGAAUUAUGAUUCAGUAUGCAGAGGGUCUGUACAUUUAGACUGGUUAAAAUGGCUGCUACAUCUUUUCUGAAGCCGAUACUAUGAUGUCUUGAACAAACUGCAUAAUAUGCCUCCAACACGUUUGAUACUUUAUUUCCCCAUCAGUUAUGGUAAAUAUGUCUGGCAGAUUUCCGUGCUUGCUAGUUCUACCGUAUUAAUCCCUAUAAAAUUCAGCAGUAUAUUUCACCUAUACUUGCAUAAGCUUGUGGAUGGUUUCAAGGUUCUGUAUGUCUUUGUUUUUACAAAUUUCCAGCAUUUUUACUGCAUUCCUAAAUCAGUGCAGGGAACAUCCAAAUGUAAUAACUAUAUGGGUUCCUUGCAUGUCCUUCAUUAAAGACGUGUUGGUAGAUUAAACCUGUUUACAUGUUACCUGUCUCCUUUGCUAAUGGGCAAAUUACUUGGAGUGGGUUCAUAUGGUGGCCUUUUGAGGAAGAGAAAAAGGAAGAAAUUUGAAAUUGAACUGGAAAUUCUCGAACUAAAAAUACUUUUUGAGUUCAUAUUGCAGGCCUUUCUACUAGACAUUGUUAAUAGAAUGCACUCAUUAGAACGAACCGUAGCUAUACAUAUAAUAAUGCUCAUUAACUUUUUAAAUCAACUCUUUAGAAUUUUCGAACUUUGUUUUGUUCUUGUAUAGGAAGGUUAAGAAUAGGCUCGACUAGCUUAUGCUAGGAAUGUUGUUGUGAAGUAUAAUGUUCAUCGGGAUUGUGAAGAUUCGAUUCAUGGUUUGUUUUAACUACUUUUUUACAUAGAAGAAAAACAUCACCGUUUUUUUUUGGGUGGGAGGAACCUGGGUCUGCCGCGUGGGGGGUGGCUGGGACGGGCUUGUAUCUUUUCACCAGUUGUCCAUUUAACCUAGUUUUCUUAUCCACCAUACUUGCUUCGUCCAUCAACUUUGUGUCUUCAAAAGUGUUCGCUUGAAACCAGUAUAAUCCUUGCAUCAAGAAGAGGGCCGUAGGUAAUGGCUGCGCGUGUGGAUUUAAAACCACGCCUCUGAUGCAAACACCAAGAGGCAUUAUUAAAUAUAUGGCAAAAAAUAUGAAAAGUUAGCCUCAGAUUUAAAUUGCCACCGAACGGCAUGACGACGCUACGAUGAUGACGCUACGAGACUGCCACAGAGCUUUUGCAUUGGACCGCUAGCAGCGGAUUCUUCCUCGGGGAGUCACCAGCCAAAGCAGAGGAUGACGAAGAAAUUCUUCGUGCACCGCACAUGACGCACAAUGAUUGACUAAUGCAUGAGGUUAGAUAAAAAAAUAUUAUUUUUUUCAUACUUCUAUCCAACUUCGCAGUGUAAAAAAUCCAACAUAAAAUACAUCACUUUAUUCAAUUGAUCCACAUAAUCGUCAUUUUUAAAGACGCAUUUAAUACCUAUAGAUCAGUUUUUUCGUUUAAAAAUUAUAUAUGAUAAAAAUAUCUAUCCUUUGAAAAAAAUUAUGACAUCCCAUAUUAUAGUCCAAAAUAUCAUAAUAUAAUCUAAAAUAUCAUAAUAUGAAAAAGAUAUUUUUAUCUAACUACUUUUCAAUGCGCAUUUAAUGACUGUAGUUUUAUUUUUUCGUUUAAAAAUUUUAAAUAAUAAAAAUAUCGUUAUUCUUUAAAAAAAAAUUAUGAGAUCCUAUGCAUAUUAUGAUAUCUUGCAUUAUAUUAUGAUAUUCUAUGGACAAAAAUUAUGAUUUUUUUAAUAUAAGAUAUCAAAAUAUAAACAUAAGAUAUCAUAAUUUUAUUAAAAAAAUAAAAAUAUCAAAAAGACACAUUGACGUUGCAGCUUUAGGCAGAAACUAAGCAAUACGGAAGAUCCCACCGCCCCCUUUAUUUAUCAAAAUGAUGCAAACAGCAUAAAACAUCAUUUUACGUUUUAUAAUGACUACACCACCCUAUUCCAUCCAAAUUUUCACAUGGACGAAAAAAAAUAAUAAUAACAAAAUAAAAUCACCAAAUCAAAUGACGUUUUAAAAAACAUCAUUUUAUUUGACGAUUUUAUUUUUUUCCAACAAAAAAAUAAAAAAAAAUGAAAAAAAAUAAAAAUUUUAAUUUUGAUUAAAAUAAAAAUCAUCAUUUCAAACUAAUAUCCCCAUUACAAAUUAUCUUUUUAAAAAAUAUCUAAAAAAAAAUGAUGUAAAAAAAAAUAAAAAAUAUCACAAAAAAGAAUUAAAAAAAAUAAAAAUUAUAAUUUCAUAUUUUAAAAAAAUAAAAAUUUUAAUUUUAAUUCAAAUAAAAAUCGUCAUUUUAAAUUACAAUCCCCUUUUCAAAUUAAUUUUUUUAAAAAAAUAUCAUAAAAAAUGAGAAAAAAAGAAAAAUUUUAAUUUUAAAUUUUAAAAAAUAAAAAUUUUAAUUUUAAUCCAAAUAAAAAACAUUAUUUCAAUUUUUUUCCCAUUUCAAAUUAAAUUUCUUAAAAAAAUAUCCCAAAAAAAUCUUAAAAAUUUAAAAAAAUUAAAAAUACCAUAAAAAAAGAAAAAAUGAGAAAGAAAUGAUAAAAAAAUAAAAAUUUUAAUUUUAAUUCAAAUAAAAAACAUCAUUUCAAAUUACUUUCUCCAUUUCAAGUUAAUUAAUUUUGAAAUUAAUUUUUUCAAAAAAAUAUCUUAAAAGAAAUAUAUGUUAAAAAAUUAAAAAAUAAAAAGUACCAUAAAAAAAUAAAAAAUAAUAAAAAUUCUAAUUUUAAAUUUAAAAAAAAUAUAAUUUUAAAUUUUAAUUCAAAUAAAAAACAUCAUUUUAAAUUACUUUCCCCGUUUCAAAUUAAUUUUUUUAAAAAAUAUUCCAAAUAAAGAAAAAAACUACCAAAAAAAAUACCAUAAAAACAGAAAAAAAUGGUAAAAAUGAGAAAAAUUAUAAUUAUAAUUUUAAAUUAUAAAAGAAAUUAAAACUUUAAUGUGAAUUCAAAAAAAUAAAAAAAAUAAAAAAUACCAUAAAAAAUACCAUAAAAAAAGUAAAAAAUAUGAAAAAUUGAGAAAAAAAUAAAAAUUAUAAAUUAAAAUUUUAAAAAAGAUAAAAAUUUUAACUUUAAUUCAAAUAAAAAAUAUCAUUUCAAAUUACUAUCCCCAGUUCAAAUUAUUAAUAUCCCAAAAAAUACCUUAAAAAAUUAAAAAAUAAAAAUAUAAUAAAAUAAAAAAUAAAAGAAUAAAAAUUAUAAUUAUAAUUUUUUUUAAAAAAGAGAGCUCACCGCCAUCGAAAGCUCACCGUCGUGCCAUCGGAGAGGAGAAGGAACACGCAAAGAAGAGGGACACGCUGGAGAAGAGGGGGGUUUUUCGUUUUUUUUUUGGGGGGGGUCUUAAGGUUCAAAAAUGCCAUUUUCUUUAGCUNNNNNNNNNNNNNNNNNNNNNNNNNNNNNNNNNNNNNNNNNNNNNNNNNNNNNNNNNNNNNNNNNNNNNNNNNNNNNNNNNNNNNNNNNNNNNNNNNNNNNNNNNNNNNNNNNNNNNNNNNNNNNNNNNNNNNNNNNNNNNNNNNNNNNNNNNNNNNNNNNNNNNNNNNNNNNNNNNNNNNNNNNNNNNNNNNNNNNNNNNNNNNNNNNNNNNNNNNNNNNNNNNNNNNNNNNNNNNNNNNNNNNNNNNNNNNNNNNNNNNNNNNNNNNNNNNNNNNNNNNNNNNNNNNNNNNNNNNNNNNNNNNNNNNNNNNNNNNNNNNNNNNNNNNNNNNNNNNNNNNNNNNNNNNNNNNNNNNNNNNNNNNNNNNNNNNNNNNNNNNNNNNNNNNNNNNNNNNNNNNNNNNNNNNNNNNNNNNNNNNNNNNNNNNNNNNNNNNNNNNNNNNNNNNNNNNNNNNNNNNNNNNNNNNNNNNNNNNNNNNNNNNNNNNNNNNNNNNNNNNNNNNNNNNNNNNNNNNNNNNNNNNNNNNNNNNNNNNNNNNNNNNNNNNNNNNNNNNNNNNNNNNNNNNNNNNNNNNNNNNNNNNNNNNNNNNNNNNNNNNNNNNNNNNNNNNNNNNNNNNNNNNNNNNNNNNNNNNNNNNNNNNNNNNNNNNNNNNNNNNNNNNNNNNNNNNNNNNNNNNNNNNNNNNNNNNNNNNNNNNNNNNNNNNNNNNNNNNNNNNNNNNNNNNNNNNNNNNNNNNNNNNNNNNNNNNNNNNNNNNNNNNNNNNNNNNNNNNNNNNNNNNNNNNNNNNNNNNNNNNNNNNNNNNNNNNNNNNNNNNNNNNNNNNNNNNNNNNNNNNNNNNNNNNNNNNNNNNNNNNNNNNNNNNNNNNNNNNNNNNNNNNNNNNNNNNNNNNNNNNNNNNNNNNNNNNNNNNNNNNNNNNNNNNNNNNNNNNNNNNNNNNNNNNNNNNNNNNNNNNNNNNNNNNNNNNNNNNNNNNNNNNNNNNNNNNNNNNNNNNNNNNNNNNNNNNNNNNNNNNNNNNNNNNNNNNNNNNNNNNNNNNNNNNNNNNNNNNNNNNNNNNNNNNNNNNNNNNNNNNNNNNNNNNNNNNNNNNNNNNNNNNNNNNNNNNNNNNNNNNNNNNNNNNNNNNNNNNNNNNNNNNNNNNNNNNNNNNNNNNNNNNNNNNNNNNNNNNNNNNNNNNNNNNNNNNNNNNNNNNNNNNNNNNNNNNNNNNNNNNNNNNNNNNNNNNNNNNNNNNNNNNNNNNNNNNNNNNNNNNNNNNNNNNNNNNNNNNNNNNNNNNNNNNNNNNNNNNNNNNNNNNNNNNNNNNNNNNNNNNNNNNNNNNNNNNNNNNNNNNNNNNNNNNNNNNNNNNNNNNNNNNNNNNNNNNNNNNNNNNNNNNNNNNNNNNNNNNNUUUUUUCAUUUUUUUUUCGUUUUCUCUUUUUUGUUGAAAAAAAUAAAAUCGCCAAAUAAAAUGACGUUUUUUAAAACGCCAUUUGAUUUGACGAUUUUAUUUUAUUUUAUUUUUUUCUGUCCACAUGAAAACUUGGGUGGAAUAAAAUGGUGACAUGACCAUCAUAAAUGCCAUUUUGAAUGAUGUUUUAUGCUGUUUGUAUCAUUUUGAUUAAUAAGUUAAAAAUUAGAUUAUUUUGAUAAAUAAUUUUUUUUAAUUAAUUUAGUAAAGCACUCCAACUAAAAAUCGAUACAAGCACCGUAAAAUUCUGUGCGACAUCCUGGCAUGUGAUAUCAUUAGAGUACGAAAAAGGCAAAGACUACGAAUAUGGCAUACCUUGCUGAAAUGGUGCGGCACGCAUAUCACAAGGUGGGGGGUCAAACAAAAGGUUUCACUGAACCCCUCAAUAAAUCCACUUGGCAUUUUUAAUCAAUGCCCCUUCAAAAAACACAUAAUGAAGAAAAGACUUCAAAUACCUUCUAGUAUGAAAUCCAGUCCAAUUUCUGCUAUCUACUGAUUACAUAGUUCUGAUACAAGAACCGCUGUUUAUAAACAUGUCAAAGAUGCAUUAAGCUUGCCAUAUUUCAACAUAUAAUAGGAUCAGGCCUGUACUUAAGUUCAGGAAGCUGCUCAACCCUGCCACCACAAAAUUUGAUUAAUUAUGCCAACUUUCUAAAUAAAGCAUGCUAAUCAAAAUGCAUUGUUCAAAGAAGCAGAAUUCUAUUGUGCAUUUCUAGAAUUGUGACCUAUUUACCUACCAAAAAAUGGAUGGCUGAUGUGCAAAAGCCCAUCUAUAUGGACCAAAGACAACAAAUUGUCAAAUUACAAUAUGUCUUCUGACACACUUCACAAGGUUCUGGCACUGAAAAAUUGGUUGACAGCUAGUAGCUAAUUGUGGCACUCUUAAAUUCUUCUCCUGUACUUUAUAUUUGUUAGUAUUUGCAGGUAGCCUACUAAGUUCCCUUGGAUUUGGGGUCGUCUAGAAGCAAAGAGAAUGCAUCACACAUUUGGAUCAUUUCAAACUUCAUGAUUUCAUAGAUGCAACUAUGCUGGCAAUAUUUCUUUUGUAGGUACACAAAGGGAAUACACCCAUUUAUUCUCAAAUACAAAGUACCUUAUCCAGAUAUCAGCAACCAAACAAAACCAAGACAAUCCAUUUAAGAACAAUAGCAUAUUCUAAAGCUAGAAAAACUAUGUAUCCAGGUAUUACAGGGUAUGACUGUCAAACCAUGGUAAACUUUGAAAUUACACUCUUUUGACUUUCCUUGAGUCUGUCAGGUAAGACCAUAUUAUGCAUUUAAACAAGGGGGGAAAAACAUAAACCAUGUAGAGGUACAUAAAAAUAAUGUUUGCUUAUCAGCUGUGGAUAUUGAGUAUAACUUGAUAAAUGUCUUACUUUACAACUCAUACCUAUAUUUUCCCUAUCAUGUACUUGGCAUACUAGUGCAAAUAAAGCCAUCCAUCCUCUGUACUCACUUGAAGUAGCUUAAAGAUCUGUAAACUAAAUGAUUUUUGACCCACUUUUGAAAGUAUAGAUCAAACUCAAUGGUGUGGGUCUUCAAUUUGUGUACCCCAUCAUUGUUUCCAGAAUUGUUAAAUCUUUUAAAUCUUUUCUCAGAGCUUGAAUAUUUAGUAUGUAGCCUUAAUUUGUAUAUGUAUAUGCUUCUGUGUGGUCUAGCCAAUGUUUCAAAUACAAAGCAGUUCAGCAUGUACGUCUUGAUACAUGCAAUCCUGGGGCCUCCUAAAAAGGGGGAGGCUUGAGUCACUACAGGGUGUAUAUCAAUGCUUUAGACAGAUUCAGUCCGAAGCACCUAAACUGAGGAGGAUCCGAUGGUUCGGGAGUAUAUCAAGGUUGGUUUAUCCUGAAUUGACAUUGAACCACUUAAACAGAGUGGUCCACCUAGGUAUUGCUAGGAAAGUGGGUGACAGGAAUUGUCUCUUAUUCUGCACUACUUGAAAGUGGAAAUGAGAAGAAGAGAGAUGAAUUACUAAAAGGAUUUUCACAUUAGAUUGACCACUCCACAACUAUUUUUGCACUAGUGAUAGGUACACAUUGCUAAAAAAUUUGAUGCACAAUUUGUACUAUUUUGACAUGCCCAGUUUCCAACUAGCCAAAAUUGAAAUUAUCAUAAAUUUUGAACUAAUUAUAUUUUUAAUCAACCAAAAAAUAUAUAUGUUUAAACAAUGUUUCUAAAGCAACAGAAAAAAAGGGAGAAGAUAAAUUGAUGAACCAAAUGAAAUAAGUUCAUGCAACAAAUUUGCACUUCAGAACAUUGGUAAUUGAUUAUAAAGAUGGAUAAGCUAAAGCUAUUUAGUGCUGGUUGAUGGUAGAAAUUAGAAGCAGUCAUUAGAAUGAUUUGGGUUGCAGAUGCUACUAUUAUUAAAUAAUAUUCUUUGCUACUAUUAUUAAAUAAUGCUAUAAAUAAUAUUGUUUCUUUUCUUUCAUUUAGUUGCUAACUUUGACACGUGAAUCUUUAAAAUGUAUUUUAGAUUGCAAAGUGACAUUUUGUGAUAUUUUUGCAUGUCAUGAUUUUAGCAUAAAAAACAAAACACCCUUGACUAGAGUAUUUAACUCGAUAUUCCUAUCUAAUUUCUUAUGAAAACAUAGCAUUUGAAUAGGAAAAUGUUAUUAAAGAAAAUCUAGAUACAGAUUUUGGAGACCAAAAACGGCCAUACCAAGGGCUUUGGGGUGUAUUUAUAUGUAUCCAUCAACACCCUUUGUUCAUAUAAUCCUUGAUAUGACACAUACUGUACCUACCAUUCUCGAUAUGGUAUCAAUCCUUGAUAUUUUGAACCUUGGGUCUAAUCAUGCAUGCACAGACAUGCGAGCACAAAUAUGCAAGUUAUGGCACCUAUUGGAGAUUUAAAUAGCACACUUGACUUCUGAACGAUGUUAUAACGAAAAUAUCAUUGGUGAUGCUACUUGAAGAGCUAAAAGUCCUGCUAUUUUGCCUUUACUCUUAAAGAUAUAGACUCUUAAUGUUGUUGUAUGUGUGUGGAUGUCCAAUUUGAGUGCCCCAUCAUUGUUUCUGGAAUCAUUAAAUCUCUUAAAUCUACUCUCAAAUUUUUACAUUUAGCGCACAGUCUAACUCAUAUAUGUAUAUAUGUGUGCAGGGUCUAACUCAUAUGAAUGUGUGCAGAUCUGCAUGUCUUUGUGCAUGAACGUAUCAUAGAUUCAUGGAACAUUCUUAGUUUGCUAAUGAUGAUAAUAGUGACAAUAUCAUUAGCAGUGUUGUAUGGACACAAAUAUGAGAUUCAGUUCUGGACACGGGUCCACAUGUCUGACUCGGCAAGAGUGAAAACGAGUGGUAUGGGGAUACAUAAAAUAACAUAUAAAUUUAACUAAAUUAAUAUUAUGCCUUCAAACAUUAUCUGUUCAAAGAAUUAAAAAAAAUGUUAAAAAGAUAUUGUUGGUUAAGAUCUUUCAGUGUACAUGUUUCUUAUUUAAACUUCUUGAUUAACUGAAGGAUAUUAGCAAAGUAAUCCUUUGCAAAGUUGUUUUAAUACCUAUAUCCUUAACAAAUCUCAGAAAAGAACAACUGCUCAGUCCUAAUAUCAAACUAAAUGAUCAAACUCAUUGGAAGAGUUCAACUCUCUUCCAAUCUUCAAAGAACUUCAUAAGCAUCCAAGUAUCUGAAAUGUAUCUGACUCAAAUACAUAUCUGACACAGAUUUUGAGAGCCGCAUGUGAGUGUCCGGGUAACACUAAUAAUUGGUGAUGCUACUUUAAGAGCUAAAAUCCUGUUAUUUAGUCUUGAUGCUUCUUUUAGUGGUUUAGAUACUUGAUGGGAUUACUAGACCUGACCAUAUUAAUUUAUUGUUUUUUUAAAAAAAAAGCAUAAGACAUGUAUCACGACUCACACAGUCAUAAUGUAGCUCCACAGUCAACACAUAUCUUGCUCACAGAAAGGCCUAUAGGUUUGACAUGACUAACUGUCAAGGUGGUAAUUAAUGGAAAAUGUUGCAAACCAUAACUUUCAGAUGAACUUUUACCCUCAGAUGUUCCCUUUUUACUAACAACAGAAAAGAGAACACUUGUCAUUUGUAACGUGAUAUAUAUAUAUGUAUAUAUAUAUAUAUAUAUAUAUAUAUAUAUAUAUAUAUAUAUAUAUNNNNNNNNNNNNNNNNNNNNUAUAUAUAUAUAUAUAUAUAUAUAUAUAUAUAUAUAUAUAUAUAUAUAUAUAUAUAUAUAUAUAUAUGGGCAUGUCCAAAUAAUCACACUAUAUCUAGUUACAAAUGACACCUAAAUGUUAUCUGAAUUCAGAAAGUUUAAAAGAUGAUUUGCAGUUGAUGCAUAUAUAGCCACAUAAGGAUACAUGAAUAUGGAAGAACACGUUGUAUCGGUGACUGGAACAUGCAAACACUGAUGCAACAAUCAUAAUGGCAUAUCAUUUGGACUAAAUGUGUCACUGCAGAUUGUGAAGAUGUUUUAGAUAUAUACCUCUGUCUAACUUUAAGUAUGCCAGUGCCCAGCUGCAUCGGAAUGCCCAUUAUAAUACAUUCGCUUACUCCCUCUAUCUGAUCAUUCCUACCACUAUAUGAAGCAUUAAAAAGGUGUUCUGCAGUUUUCUCAAAUGAUGCUAGCAUCAAAACACUGUCUUUCAUCUUCGAGAUGCCAAAUCUAGUGAUUCCAAGAACUUCUCCCUGAGAUAAGCAAUCAUAAUAAAUGACAAAUAUGCCUGGUAAGCAAAUGUAUACUAAGAGCUGAAGAUAAAAGCCUCAAUUAACAAAGUCCCAGCAUCUACAUCACAGACAUACACAACAAAAAUACGAAAUAAUGCUUACUCUGUAAGUCAUUAAAUCUGCCAGAAGCAUCAUAUGCCGUGCAUCGAUGCUCAUGCCAUGAUUACGCAUUGUAUAUUGAAUUUCGUUAAUGAUGCACUGUCUCGCAGCCUCAAUUCCAAUUGUCUGCUGGACUUCAAUGAUAUGAUUACUUUUAGUUUUACUUCCAUCAAUUCCCGGGGUGCCCAUGACUGCCAAAAGGUUUGUACUGCAAUAUUUAUAGAGUGUAAUAAGUCAAUUCAUUUGAACAAUUGAACUGUUAAAAAGAGAAUGCCAUUAUUCUAGGACGGACUUAUACUAGGUAGAUUGCAAAAAAAGAUUAUUGAUCCAUUCAAUUUUGUUUAUACCUAAGAAAUGAAUUUUCGAGUUGAACAAGAAUAAACACAUAUUUAUUAUUCAAUAACUAAAUUAUUUCUGGUUGUCCAACAUAUAUAAUUAAGAAAGCAUUUUAGUGCUAAUGCCAAGAUCAGGGUGCUUUAUAGAAUUUGUUACAUCCACUUCUUACUUUUGAUUACUGUCAUUGAGGAAGUUCAUGGUUGACCAAAGCAUGCAGGGUGGAAUAUGAAGAACAAGAAUAUUCAAUUCCCAAAGCAUAGUGCAUGAACACGAAUAUCACAAGAAAAACAAACCCUUCAACUAGCAGGUUGUAUACUCCGUUAGCAUGGUUGAUAACUGCACGCUCAACAGUUGCGAUACCCUGAGCAUCAAUUACAAAAAAACAUAAGGAUUCCCCAUCCUUAACAGAAACAUCAGAUGAAACUGUGUCGUCAAACAGUUUCUUAAAAUUGAAUCUCAAGGGGUGGAAACAUAAGUUUUACCUUCACAAUAACCUUUGGAAGCACAGCUUUCAAAGAAUGCAGCUCAAAUUGUAGUUUACUCCUAUCUGCUUCAGGAGGGUAUAUUUUCAGCUUGUUGUUGCCAAGGACACGGAUAUGCUGCAAGCAAGCUGCAUAAUGAAGACCCAGCGCUACAAGGAAAGAAUGAUUGCAGAGGUCUGAGGUAAGGAUAUCUUCAUACCUCAGGUUUUAAUUUUGUUUUUGGAUGAUUCAGGAUUGCCUGUUGUACAGACUGGGAAGAAAUUCUCAUAUGCAAGGCUUCAAUCCGUUCCAUGUCAAGUUUCACAACUAUAUAAGGCUGACUGGAUUUCAGUACAAUCUUUAUGGCCUUAGCAACCUGCACAAUCAAAUGAGAUGAACAAUCACCCAGCUUCAAGAUAGUAUUUUACGAAUAUUUGGACAUGACUAGUAAAGACAAGUGGAUUAUUCAAAUCAUCAUAUACAAUAAGCAUGGACCAUUAUCUUCAACUUCAACAUCCUCUAAUGAUUUAUGGAAGGCAAUCAUUCUGCAGGUCAAUUGGUGUCACCAAUCAACAAAAGAAAUAGAAGAUGCAUCAUGUUAGCAAUGCUGUUUAGCUACUUAAAACUACACACAAACUACUUAAGAUGUGGGAGGAAGAUGUGAAGAAUCACUUCCAAUGGCACAUUUUGGAGCAACCUAUAGAACCUUUUCUAAAUAUAUAUGAAAGAUUAAUGCAGAACAUCUAAUGAUCUUAUCCAUUUACACAUUAAUUUCAUCAAGAAAGUUAUAUAGCAUGCUUAAUAGUUUCAAAUUUUGUGAUGGAAUAAAACGUAUCUUUGUAGUAAAAUGAUAGGUAUCAGUGAAAGACCAACUUUCGACUACAUGCGCAGCUGCAUAUUUUGGGCAUCCACUAGUAUCAGAAAAAUCUACAUUGCAAGGUCCAUGAAUUACAUAUCAAAUAAGUACUUAGCCUCUUCAACAUUUUGGAAGAAUUGCCAUGGUUAUCAUUGACCAGCAACAAUAACCUUCACAAAAUGUGAAUUGUAUGGACCAUAUCAUAUACUAUUAGUUUUUAUCUUCAUUAAAGGUAGCUAAAAUAUGCAUUUUGAAAGUUGUCUCAUUUGCUGCUUCACCAGAAAAUUUACGAGUAGCUGAAAAACUUUAGUGGAUUUAACAUUUCUCCAGAUAUCAAAGGGUCAUUCACCCAAAAAUGGAUGGAAUUAUGGAUGAGAUUCUGGGGCGAAAACAUGAACAUGAACAACAAGCUUUAUAACCCUUAUUCUUUUAUAUUGUUGGCCUUCCGGAUUUUACUUUGCCACUAAGGUAGUUUUCAUCGUGCAUAAAUUAAGGGAUGGCCACUGUCAAAUUCCAACAAUAGCAUAGAAAGAGAUGAUGGUUCUAACUCACAAGGCAUGUUCAAGCUAAUUUGUUACUGAUUUCCAGACUUUUCAAUUUCAACAGUCAAGAUGCUUUUCACAGAACAGCAGAGGGAAAAAAGUCUCAUUCCAUUACAAUUAGCACUUCAGUAAGUACUACCGACAGAUCUCCAAGGCAGUAUUACAUAAAUGAUGUGUAACUUUCAUAUCAUCAGCAAGAAACAUACCUCGCCCAAAACAGUUUUCUGAAGACUGCUUCUCACCAUACGUGCUGACAGAACAUCACGGUCAGAGACAAGUGUGGCAGUGAUAAUUGGUGUACUUAUGUUUUUCGCAGCAUUUAUUAUUUCCUUGAUGCGAGGAACCCCAAGAGUGACAUCUAAUGCUCAGUUAAGAGAUCACUUUGCACUAGAUACAGAAUUCAGUAUAAGCAAACUAUCCAAUCUUUGUAUAAGUUGAAUAUAUAGAAAAACAUUGAAGAAUAUCAGACACACGUCCAAGGUCCACCGAACCGGUACUGAGACCCGUCCCUUAUUUCCACAGGGAUAUCACAGAUUGUGCAACAGGAAAGCAGAUGAUGGAAGUAUUUCAGUAAAUGGUUGAAGAAAUAUUCGAAAAAGAUGGAGGUUGUUCAACCAUUUCUUGCUGGAUUUGGAUAAUAAUUGUGAUAACUUUUAAUAGCACUGUGACUUAAUUAGAAACAAAGUCAGAAAUAACAGCACUAAAAAGUAAAGACACUUUGUACUAGUAAAUAUCUCAAACUAGGAAGACAUACAUGAAUGAUACAGCUUUACAUUACCAUCUUGUGUUCCUCAACCAUAGCAUAUAUAUACAGCGGCAGAAAAUGGCAAACCUUCAUGUUUUUUUUGGGAAUUUUCUUUAUUUUCACCUUAAAAUAUAGAUGAUAAUAUCUGCCUACAUGAAGCCCCAGAAAUGUCAAAAGAGAGAGAGGACAAGAAGAAAAUCAAAAGAUAUUUAGCACAGUGAACAUCAUUAUUGAAUACAUCAAGAUCAUGUAUUUUGCAAUUUCUUCUUUUUAUCUAUAAUUUCAGACAAAAGAUGUGUUACAGGUAGAUCUUAAAUCAAAAGUAUACAAAUUUUGACUAAUCCACAUAAAAUUUGUGCAAUAAGAAGGAAACUAUCAAUAUGCAUGAAAUGACGAUGAUAGAUUUGUUAACCUAUUAUCAAAGUUGCUCUGAUAAUUUUGUCACACUGAAAAAAGUAAUGAAUUGCCUAGUUUCUCAAAACAGACAAUAGUGUUUGAGAACAGGAUACAGCAUAAAAAGAAAAAAAAGUGCUUGAGAAGUUGGUAUAGAUAAAAGUAUAAGAAAUUCAAAGGCAGAAUUUUCAUUUAUAGACUACACAAAAGAAAUUAAAGGCUACUUCAGUUUAAUAAUGAAUACACCCAUAGGAUACUCAUGCUAGCAACUCCAGCAAAGUGAAAUGUCUUCAAUGUCAUCUGAGUUCCUGGUUCUCCUAUACUUUGAGCUCCAAUUGCUCCAAUUGCUCCUCCUGCUUCGAUUUUUUUCAAAUGAUAACGGGAUAUACAUGUCUCCAGGAAAACCUAAAACAAGAACUUUGUUAUUUAGAUAAAACUACUCAAGAAAUAUCAGAAACAAAUGCCUUCUUUUCCACAAACUAAAAGCAAAAAGUAAAGAAUACCUUUUAUUGUAAAUUAUUAAUACAAACCAUAGACCUAUGGAUUACAUUUCUUCUUGUAAAAGGUUAAGUGCAAUUGUGAUUUGAGACUUAAGAUGCAAUUUUAACAAGUCAACAACACAAAAAAAUUGGAUGGAAUUUUUUAGAAAGUACUACCAACAUAACCAAUUUAAGUGAAACUUUUCCUUAAUCUUUAUGACACUAGCAGUUCAAACAACUCAAUACUUCCUUAAAACUUGUGUCACACUGUCACCAUUAGACAAGAUUUAGGACUUCAUCAAGAAGCCCUUUUGAAUUUUCUUUUCCAACACCUCCAAUCCACUCAAAUACACACUAAGUGAUAUUCCAAAAGCUUUUCCUGUACAAACUCAUAUUUUUAAUGUCCAUGUUGAAAAUAUUUUCCCCAAAAGUUGUGGCAUUGACCAUCAAAUCUUUUCUCCAUCAAAAGUUCUACAUCCUCCCUAUUCAGGAACUCUUGCUAACUAAUUGAAAUAAAAGAAGGGAACAUGCAUUUCAAUGAAGUAUUAGGAGGUUUUGGAACUCUACAGACCAAAAAUACUUAAAAGGAUCUAUCCUGCAUCAGCUCAUCCCCCCAAAUUAACAUGAUUUUAUAACUCUUAUAUCCUCCUUACCAAAUAUCUAAUGCUGGUUGGAUAGAUUGCUUUCUCCGAUGCUGGUCAAACAGGAUGCAUGCUUCAACCUUAUGUAGAUUCAUAGUAUCUAACAUGGUCCAUUCAUUCUACAGAAACUCCCAAGAACGGUGUGAUUGUGACACCCACAGAUAUGACAAGCAACAAGGUUUUUUUCUUUGUUAGUUUCUAAUAUAAUGCCAAUCCAUGUUAGCAGCAUGCACUGUUAAUCUACAUCAGAAACUGCAAUACACAUGUCCAUGACUUGUUUAGAAACAAUUAAUAUAUAUUUAUUAUGGUCUAGGAUUAUAGAUUGGUCAAAGGCUCAAGAACUGAAGGCACGUACAUUUUCAAGUUUCAACUAAAAUAAUCAAAAAUAAGCUACACCUUGACAAUAGAAAAGAUAAAGAAGAGAGUCAAAAGACCAUUACAUAGUAAUAACAUGCUAGUUAUGUAUUUUUUGGGUAGCUGCACCACUUUGCAUUUAGCAAGAAACAACAAUUUUUAGUAGCUCACAAGUCCUUUUCAGUAUGAGCAUGCAGUGCAAGUCUUAAGUGCUUGAGCAUAACAUUAUUAUGUCUCACAAAAAGAUAUAAUUUUGUAGACCAAUAUCUAUAAAGCAGUGUCACUAAAUAUCAGCCAUAAAGCAUAUUUUUUUUUCCAGAUGAAUAUAAAUAAACUAAUUAACCAAAUUAACCUAGCUUCCGUUCCCAUCUUUCAUCCAGAUGUUGUACCUCAUCUACUCCAAAUGCCUGACCUUCUCCACAAUUUCAAGUGAAAAAUAGCAAUCCAAAAGAGGAAUAUGACACAAACCUGUAGUUGUUUAGCAGAAAUUCCAGAUAUAUUAGCAGCAACACUUUCAAGUACGCUAUAAUCUUGCUUCUGAAGAUGAUUUUCAUCAAGCUGAAGCGCCCUUCUUAUGUUACAUAAUGCAGCAACGCGUUUAUGCAGAAAAUCUGACAACAUUUUCUUGAAGGAUGCUGAGCAACCACCCUCAGGAGUCAUAUCAUAUUUCGAUAGUCUGUCAUCCAUAAUAUGUAAGAUUUCUGCUGGAGAUAAAGUGUCUUGUUCUCUAAGGGGACAUGUAGCCUGCAAAAUCGAAAACAAAACUCAUAUGAGGUUGCAUCUCUUCAAAGCAUAUCCAUAAAGCAAGUUAAAAGAAAAAAGUACAGACCAUGAUUUUCAUGAACAACUGAUCCAAAUUUAAGGGAAUGCCAUCUUUUCCUUCCAUCUUUGCUGGAUCCAUGCCAUCAUCACCAUAAACAAACUGAACUAUAGAUCCACUAGCAGUUCGCACUGUCUGAUCAUAAUAAAUUGAUAAAUCUUCCAAACCUUUCAUCAAUCUGCGGGACAUGUAUCCAGUUUCUGCUGUUUUCACCUACAUUACAUAAGUGCAGAAUUAAGCAUAGAAUGUAACUUUUUUUAACCUUUUCUGUUUUUUUUCUUAUUUUCCUUUUUCCUUUUGGAGAAACCAGGGUUAGGCAGGACCCCUACCAGUUCAUCAUCCAGCAUGAAAUGUUUGGCAUUUUCUAACAAAGAAAUCGCAAUAAGAGAGGAUAGUUGCACCAUACGGCUAGAAAAGAAUAUCUCAAGAAUGAUCAGCAAAAACCAAAGUUCUCUCACUGCUGUUACUUGGAUAAAAUGUCAAGGUGUGGAUAGAUGAAAAUUCUUUAUGCAGAUAUUUGUUUCAUUAGAAUUCAAAAGAGAAGCUUUAGAAUGAGUCCACAUUCCUCAGAACAGCAGACAAGGUGUGAAACACAUGAAUUUAUUGAACUUCAAAACAUUUAGAUGAUGCCUAUUCUUCCCUAGAAAUUCAAUGGCAUACAAUAUCUGAUAUAACCAGAAAAAUGAGAGAACUUUAGCAAGGAUACAAAUAUCAAAUAGGAACUUGUAGCAACUUUUGAACAAUAUGUUCUAAUAAAGUACUUAGGUACCUUUGAACCAAGGAUUCAGGUCCAGACGGGAUGUCCUAUGGGACAUCUAGAUGGGGUACCAUCUUGUAUGUCGGGACAAGACCGUUCCGCUAUCAUCCUAGCAUCCCAAUCAAGAUAUCUUGGGACAUCCCCUAUCCCAAGUGCUAGGAUGGGUGGGAUGGCGGCACGUUCCGUUCCUUGAGAAAACCGAAACAGACCCAUCCCACAAGAUUUAAAACCUUGCUUUUAACAACAUUGCUUAUUCAUAACCAAAGGGCUAUAAAUAUGCAUAGCACAGAGGAAUAUUAGGGUGAAAGCACGUAAAAAAGCAAGAAUUGGAAGGUAGAGAGUCACUUGAAAAUUCUUAGAAUUAAAUGGCUAUAAUUAACUUACAAAUGCUAAAAACUAGAUACUAGAUUGGAGCUGCAAAUGUAGCAGAAAAAGCCACAGCAAAGGAAAGAAGAGAGGCCUAGUGUUGAAAGACUUGGAGGACCUUGGUUGAUGGUUGACAGUGUGACUAUGAUAUGGGGAUGCCCCUCUAGUUGGAAGAUAUUCUAUUGCAUAAAGUAAUCAGUGGAAAGUAAUUAAUAAAACUAAUCCAUGUACCUUAAUUUUUCGUGCAAUUUUUGCUCUUUUUCUCUGAAGAAGAUUUUAACCCAAAUUCUCAGCAACAUAAGCUUGAUCAUGCAAACACAGCAACACAGUUAUAGGAUCACAUAUUCAAUGUUAGUACUUCAUGUUUAUUAGCUCAGAUAAUUAAAUUGAAAAUUUGUUUCUUAAGGAUGUGAUGAUGGGUUCCCCAAAACAUAGAUAGGCAUUUUGUCCUAUAGGCAUUCAUAGACAAGCAGUACUUACCACCACAUCCAUGUCCAAAUUUAGUUAUAAAAGCAUAUACAACACUGGAUGUUUGACCAGGUUGACAUUGUAAAAGCAACAGUACCUCAGAAUAUAAGACCGCAGUUGAAGUGCUUGUAACAAUUGACAUGUGGUUAGCAAAGUAAUAGAACAAGUUAUACAAACACGUAUAAGGUUAUGACACCUUUCCUGGCAAGAACUCCUACGAUAUAAUGGAAAAGUCAUCAGAAUGCAUCAAAGUCAUAUCACACAAAUUCUCUGUCAACGACAACAGUAUCACUAGCCUUAUAGCCUUGUGACGGUAAAUGCAACUGACUUGUAAUAGUAAAUACAUAUAAUAUUCAAGCGAGCAUUAAUGAAUUUAGAUGACUUGAGGACAUAAUCUGUAGUUCCACCCCACAUAACAUGCACAACAUCCAACUUAUGGCCAUGCCACCAUGAUGCUCCUAGACAUUUAACAUUGUGAUGAUGAGAGGCACAUGGCCCAAAAACGUGAUCUUAGUACUAGCACAACAAAAUUUGUUAGGUAUCUUGUGUUUCAAUGCCAUUUGACUCUGCAUCUUCUUGGCAUGGCCAUCUUGCAUCAAUGUUAUAAAUCAUAUGCUGAAUUUAUUUUGUAACUUCUCUUCGACAUCAUAUACAGAGGCAAAAUUUCUGAUUUGAUUCUUUGCAUCUCUUUCACAUUAGUCAAAUAGCAUCAUCAUGCAAAUUAAAAUUUGAUUCGAGAUGCAUGAUCUAUUAAAAUGAGCCAAGAAUGCUUCAAAACAAAUUAGUCAAGAAUGUCUUAGAACAUGUACAUAGACCAUGUCUUAUAUUCUUGAAUAUAAAAGAAUCAAAUACAGCUAGGAUUUGAAAUGGGUUAGGUUUCUUAAUCCAAGCAUUUCAGCACAAGUCUGGUAACAUGUGCUUCUUUUAGUGCCAACACAGUUGACUGAAUAGUAUGAGCACAAUAUAUGAUCAUCAAACUUAGCCUUAAAUGGAUGUUCAACACAAUUUAGUAUUCUUGACAAUCUGUAGCAUAAGCUCAUUUAAAUCUUCAUAAUUCCAUUUUGAUGCAUUGGGAUGAUAACAUUGCCUUAAUCCAUUAGGAUUAUAACAUGCCUUAAUUAGAGAAACCAACAUGAUGGAUAACUUGUCACUAUUUAGUCUUGCAUAUACUUCCUGCUAUUAUCCAUCAUUAUAGUACCUCGAAAUUUUGCUUGUCACUAUAGUCCCUCGAAAUUUUGCUCCUUCCAGUUUGUUCACUUAAAAGCAUGAAAUGCCAGUUCUUCACUGCUUCACAACAUUGUAUCAACUAAGUUAUGGUAGAUCCAUGAUUAAACCCCAAUUUCCGAGUGGCAAAAUAAAUGUUUCUAUGGAACUGACACCUUGAUCAACCUCAAUUCCUUUUGGUGCAGAAAUUGCUAUUUGUUUGUCAUGCAACCAAGUGUCAUCUUCACAGUCAACAUUUCUAGUUGUUUCUCUCACUUUGAGAGCCUAAACAACACUUUUAUCUUGCUCAAAUUCCUACUCCUGAUCUAAAAUUGUGCUACAAAUGCAUCUAUAUCCAAUCACACUGGUAAAUUUGAAGAUUAUUCUUUAAUUCAAAAUAUGUCAAUGCCAGGCCUCCAAAAGACACAUAAACACAUACACGGGGGGGGGGGAGAGAGAGGGAUUUUACCCAGUGUCAAACAGGUUAAUAAAUCAAAUUGUAGGGAGAUGUUACAGACUGAUACAUACCGCGGUAUCCACAAGACCUUCUCUCCCACCCAUUGUAUGGAAAAAGAAUUCUGUUGGUGUCAGCCCGGUAUAGAAAGAAUUAGCUACAAAACCUUUAGCCUGCAAUGCAAGUAACAACAUCAUCACUAAGCUGUCCAUUUAACAACUAAAAUUAGAAACAAAAUUCAACUAUUAGAAUAUGCAAUGUGGCACUUCUGAACAACAAACCAAUGCAACUCAGUUGAAUAAAUUAUGAAUGUUAUGUGUAGGUCAAUGUGACUCACAUCUCAAUGGCUAAAACACGAAAUACAAUUAGCAAGGACCUAUGGAAAUAUCAGUAAAGAGAUAAUGAUUGCCGAGAUUUUAUUACAACAGUGAAAAAUUGGCCCACCUAUGUUAGAUUAACAGAUUCUACUAGUCAGUAGAUUCAAGCAAAGAUCAUAAAAUAUUAGUAGACUGCUAUCUUAUAGAUUUCCAUUAACAUAUAUGCAGAUGAAAGUUGGAAGAGAAUCAUAGGACUAGACCAGUGGAAAUGGAUAUUUAUACCAAAAAGAAAGGAAAACCAAGCACGAAACUACAGUCAUCUCAUAUGGAAGUCGCUAAAGUAGGCUUAUUAUGUAAAAUAUUUCAGAAAGUGGGGCCCUCAACCGAGCAGAAUGGAGGAAAAGGAUUCAUGUUGCAGACCCGAACUAGUUCGGUAUUAAGGUUUAGUUGAGUUGAGUUGAGCUGAGCUGAGCUUACUAUUAUAUAAAAUCCUAACACAUAUAUAUAGAGAUUUGUGAUAAAACAAGGUCAAACAAGAUAUAGAGGGAGUAAAAAUGUUACUAAUCUGUCAUCAAUCUUACCGCAGGAGUCUUUGAAUUUAUAGGGAAGUGAGGAAGAGUUCGAUCGAUAAAUCCAUUGGGAGCACGACGCCCACCAACUGAUUGUUGGCCCACACAUGCAACCAUCUGGCUGAUAUUGAUUGGAGAACCUUUGGAUCCACAUUGUGACAUAAUUAAAGGGCUGUUUCUCCAAUGGAGCUCAUUCAUACAAACCUGAAAUAGGAAAGUCAUUGAAGAUUCUCCGGUUAGUGACCCACUGGAAAUAUGAAAUGGUUACAAUGGUCUUCAACUUACACCCUAAAAAUCUAAGAACUUAAUACAAAUUGGAACCAGCAAUGCAGCACUAAAUUUCCGGUGACAAAAAAAAUAAGACAAGAUGUAGAUAGAUGAUGUCCAAAUGAUGCUGAAGAGAAGUUCAAGUCAAACUGUAAACAAAUAUGUUUUGAUAACCCCAGUUUAACCAAGAAAGACAAUGUGAUGCAAAACCCAAAAAAUGCAGAUGAUAUUUAGCAAUAAAAAACAGUAAUACAGGAACUAAUUUGCUAUGACAAAAACAAAACUGAUAGCACCCAUACAUUUCCAGCUGUAGCUCUAAUUUGAUUCAGCACGCCAGUUAUCUUAAGUUCCAGUGUUUGAGCUGCAUUGCAACCAGGCUGCAAGAUAAGUUCCCCUUUGCUAUACGAGGAUAUAUGUCCAUGGCAUUCUCUAUAUCCCUCAUUAAUUUUCUUCCUUUUCUGCUGGUUAAGAUUUUCUCCUGGUUGGACAUCAUCAAUGCCAAUGGAAAAACCAUGGUUUCCAAUCCACCUGGCACUGCAAAUACAACAACAGAUAACCAUAUGGAAAGCUUACAUCUGCCAUUAACGAGCAAAAAAAUUAACAUAAAUAUACUUAUUAUAAUACUAUAAUUAUCAUGAACAUGAGAAAGCAUAUAAGAUCACAACAAAAAUCAGUAAACUGUUAGAAGAAUUAUAUGAUUUUCAAAAAUAGAAAAACAAAGAAGUUUCUAUUGCAUGUAAUAAAAAUUGUCCAUGAUCAAAGUGCCAACUAGUGCAGUUGGUAAUCUUUGGGAGUUUGUACCAAGGACCUGGGUUUUCGUCCUGCCUUCACUUGGAAUUUGGCUGGAAUUUCUCCUAUCCUAUUUCUCUCCACACAGAAACAAACAAAAAAAAGGGGGUCAAGCACAGCAUGCAAUUAUUCUUUUAGUAAUUAUACGGUUCUAAAGUACGAGGAAAACAUCUGUAAAUCAACCUUUGCAGUCUACAAAGUAAACAAAGUUCUAAAACUUCCCACAAGUCAUAUCAAGUUCGCAUAUGAACACUUACACAGCAAAGAAAUUUGGAAAGAGUCAGGACUCGGGAGUGUGCCAAAAGUAGUUGAUGUAUACCCUCAUUAUUCCCAUUUUCUUUUACUUUCACUCACUUAUUUAACAACAAAAUUGCUUGCAUGCACAAAUUUGCAUGACUUGCCCUGGAGAUAAUCUUCAUAAUUUCAGGUGACAACCAAAACUGGAAAUACCAAUCAUAACCUAUAGCAAUGUUGAAGUGCCCAAAACAAACAAUUUACAUAUUUGACUACAUGAAAAGGCUUAAUUUGAACCUCAUAACACAACAAAAAGCUACCUCAAUUUUGCAAGGCGAUUCAUGCAACUUGCAGCAGCAUGUGGAUUGUAGUCUCUUAGGAGCACAGCAAACAGCCCAUCCUUAUUGCCAUUUCCUAGAGUAGAAAAAAAAGCAGCAUGUACAUCUUAAUCAAUUUGAACAGUCUAGACCAACCACUGCCACAUCAAAAUUCAUUUAAAAUCACAUUAUCAUUUAAGAACAUAAAAAACAUACUUGACAAAGGCAUUUAGUCAUGAAAAAACAAACUUUAACCCACAGAUACAAAUCAAUGGAAGGAACAACUUAUGAAUUAAUUUCAAAGACAAAUAGACAUACAUCAAAAAGCUAAUGUAUACAGUACAACGCUCUGAAGCUAUCACAGUACUCCCUAUAAGAUUUUACACUAUGAUACCAUGUUAAUCGUGAACUUACACAAAGGCCUGAACUCUAUACGUGAUAGAAACCCAUAAACAAUAUAUGUUCAAACAUGAUACAAUUUCAAAUGGGCUAGAACUCUAUUAGAUGCAAUUGCACAUAGAGAUAUAACCUGAAAGUUUCAAUAAUGAAAAACAAGUCAUCAAUAAAAGAUCACACCUUAGGUGCUUAUAGAAGUCUGUUCACAAGCAUAAAUAUUAACACCUAUUGUAAUUCCAACUCAAAUACUAUAACUAGUAUACAAGCAAAUACAAGAGAAUGUUUAGAAAACAAUGGAUCAUAGGCCAAACUUUAUCAACAAUGCUAUAACGGGUUUCAAAAAAUAACAUAUUUCUCAACAAUCCAAUUGGGUCCAGUGCAACAGAGCUUGGAAAGAUAAUAUCAUGAGAAAUAGAAAUGGGAGGCAUUUGAGUUGUAUGUGUUUUUUCUACUGUUCACACCAAUAAGCUCAUAGAACCAUUUCAAUAAAGUUUUAUUCAAAAAUUAAAUGACAAUCUUGGUAGGAUAACUGACAAGCCCAUGGGCUUACUUUGUUCUUUUUUGAUAUAGCAUUAGUAAUUCACAUAUAAAAUUAUAAAUCACAUAUAUGACUAAACAACUCAUAUAGAUCACAGUAAGAAAAUAUUAAGCUACAUUUAUUAGGCCAUGAAUACAUUGGGAAUGAUCAAGCUACAAUAUAAUUGCAUAUGCCAAAUACCAGAAGCAUGCACCUAGCUUAUAGUUGAGUGGCAUAUGUUCUAAGCUGCACACACAUUCAUAUAUCUUGUAUUGUAACAAAGACUAUAAUGCUAGUAUAAAUAGUCAGGAUCACAAGAAUCAGGUUAGUUUAUGGACCCUGAUAAAAAAGAUGACAAGCUCUACAGGAUCAUUAACUGAGGUUAUAGAAUGCACAAAUUACCCUUGAAAACUUAAGAUCGAGAACCCUACUCCAUCAUGAGGCAACCACUUCAUGCAAUAUUUGACCAUAAUGCAAUGUUUGAAAACUCAGCUUUAGACUCAAAAGCUGGACCAGAUGAGUUUCAAUUUUGGCAAUUCUGACACUUUUUGUGGUUUUGGCUCUGGAUUCAGUGGAAGUUACAAAGAAUCCAAAAUUGACAAUUAACAAAUAAAAAAUUGAAAAAAAUAAAAACAAAAAUAUUUAAAAUAUAUUCUAUAGUUGAAGAUUUUUAAAUGUACCUUCUGGUAGUUUCACAUGCAGAUAUAGUGUUUGCUUAUGAAUCAACCAAAGUCUUCAGAGCAAAAUAAGGUUGAUGCAUAUCAAUGCCUAAUCAUUUUAAAGCAUGUGAUUACAGAAAGAUCCAGCAUAUUUCUGACAUAUACAACUUCAUUUGGAAGGAAGUUGUAAGGAGCCUUGCAUAUUCUCAAAAGUCAAAAUUCUUAUAAACUGUAACUGAUAAAAUGCCUGCCAAAUAGGUUAUGAACCAAGGCUUAAGUACCGGUUUUGGAACCUGGACUGGAACCCAACCAGUAAAUCUCAUACCAAGUGUCAAGUAUAGUACAUCCUUGGGUACCGACAAACAGUAUGGUGACCGUAUCAGGUACCAAUUCCUUAGAGGUUUGGUGCAAUAUGUGAAUACACAACUACUGUAUAUAAAUCAUUGUUAUGAACUAUAAGAGUCAUUGAGAUCAUAUAAAACCUACUUCAAGGAAAAUGAGUUCUACAAGGAAAAAAAGGGGGCACAUGAUCUUUCUUUAAUUUGAGAUGAAAAUGGGAAAAAGAAAUAUGUAUAAACAAAAUAUAAUAAGCAAGAUAAGAUUCUCAAAAUAACAAAAAUAUUCCUAGCCAAGGUUUGUAAGCAAAGGGCCCUCUUACCUAAAGUAGCCUUCCCAAGCUGCCCACAUAUUAGCUCACUGUUCCGGAAAUAGACACAACCAUCAUUGGGACACAUUGUUUCAGAUUUGCUAUAGAUUUUCUCCUUCACAAUAAGAUUCAAAAACACCCUUGUAUUUGCAUUAGGGCGUAUGAGAACAUUGAAUAGCUGUUUCCCUGUCCAGAGCUCAAUGGGCUGCAAAAUAAAAUAUAUGGGGAAAAAUAAUCAAAACAUCAACACUAGCAGCUUCAAUUUAAAUUUGCAGAAUAGACAGCAGCAAAAAAAAGAAAAAAGAAAAAAAUUUUAAAAAAUGGACUAAACAACCCAAAGAUUCCAAACCAAGAAGAAGAAUUAAAGAAAAGUGAAAGCUAGUAACAUCUAAAAACAGGCAUUAAGAGAGAGAGAGAGAGAGAGAGAGAGAGAGAGAAGAAAACUUCAAACUUUUGCCAUGAUCUCAUAUAAUACGGGAGAUCUUUCAAAGUAAAACGAACACUUAUGAAUUGAUGAAGAUAGCAGCAGUCAUUGGGAUUUCUUUAGCACACUAUUUCUUUGGGAUCCCAGGGUUGUAAGGGUCGCUACAUAUGCAUGAGUAGGACAUGUAAGGUAAAAGAUCAGAAAAUAAUUAUGAUAUGGAGAUCUCAGUUCCUACUUGCAACAUAUCCUCAAUGAGAAGACAGAAAGAUAGAAUUAAUCUAACAGUUUUUUUUUCAAAAUACCUUUAGAAGUUAGAACAUAGUCUCCAGGGGACAAAGGCAAAGAACAAAAAUGCAAGCAAGAUAAGAUCCUAGAACAUCCUAUGUUUUAAUAUCACGAUAACAUUCCAUACAUAUGCGGAGUUAUAAAAUGUAAAUAGUUAACAUUUUUUUCCAUUAGAAACAAAAAAAAAAAGAAGUAAUUGGCCUUUCUAGGGAAAAAAAAAAGUAGAGAACUCAAUUUCCCUAUCACAGUUUAUAUCUAGAAGUAUUAUUAUGGUCAAAACCAUAUAAUAACCAUAGCGUAAAGCCUUUCACCAGUAUUUAGGUUCAAGGUUAAAAAUCUUCGCUUGCCAAGCUUUCCAAUUUAGGUCACCUCAUGAAAUUAGCUUGGAAAACAUUGCAUAAAGCAAAGGAUACCCUAGCAUUCACGAAUAUCAAAAUUUGGGUUUAAAUCAAAGAUUGAUUUACAUUUUAUGACUCGUUAUUGAAGUGAUGUCAAUUCUCCUAUUGUGUAGCCCUUCAACAGUUACACCAGUUGCCAAAAGUCAAACUUUGAUCAGUAUCAGAAAUAUCGAUUGAGCUAGAGACAAGAUUUUUCCCUCAUGGUGCCAAGCAAGGUUCGUGGACUUGGUACCAGAGUCCAUACUGGUGGGCUGGAGGUACGGAUUGGUACAGAUCUGUAGUGGACCGAACCGGCGCGAACCAACAUAGAGGAGAAGAGAUGAACCGAGAGGAAAAAAAGAGAGAUAGAGGGGAGGGGGAGGGAGGGGGGAGGAAGAAGGGGGAAGGCAGUGGCUGGAGGAGACACCGACAGUGGCCACAGAUGGGCCGCCAGCGCACUCGGAGGGCCGCGAAGGCCUCCACUUCAUCCGCCACUCGACCAUGAGAGAGAUAGAGGGAGGAGGAGGAAAAGAAAAGGAGGGAGGGGAAGCUGUCGGAGAGGCCCCCGAAAAGCCUUCGACUGGUCACCAAGACCGCUGAACAGUGCAAUCGCAGCCUUUAGCACUGCGAGCGUGAAACAGGGGUGGUCACCCCUGUGCCACAGCCGCGGCACUGCCCGCGAAGUUUCCACUAGCCGAUGGCCACGACGGCCACCCGGCAAACUCCGACGGCCACCCGGCAAACUCCGACGGCCCCUCCACUGGCUACGCCUCCCUCCGAUACGUCGCUCCCUCUCUCUUUCUUUCUUGCUCAAUUAAGUGUCCUAUCGGACGACGCCGAGCUAUGGAGGCCUCAGCGGACCACCGCUGGCCUCCAACGGCCUCAUGCCAUGUCUCCCUCCCCUCCUCUCUCUCUUUCUCUCUUUUCCUCCUCCUCCGAUGUGUACCAUUUUUUUCGGCCGAACCAUCUCGGUUCCUCACUAGUCCGGCUCGGUACGGGGUGUACCGAUCGGUUCGGGCCAGUACGAAAUUCCAUAGUGCCAAGAUAUGUACUAUUGUGUAAAAGGACCAUAUACUGUAGAUGGCUCAAAACUGUCAUGGUUGAUAAAAUGUAUGAAUAUUGCAACAAAACACCACUUAAUCACACAAUAUGUACCUUUGAUUUAUAUUAUAUAAUUUUCUCUUUUUCCUGAGUAGGCAAAUUGAUAUCAAAAGAAUUUAAGAAUCAGAACAAGAAUAUCAAAGUAUACAUAAAUAAUAUAAACUAAUACGUACCAAAAAAUAAUAUAAACUAGCAAAUUUUUUUAUUUCAAGAAGAAAAUAGAAAUACAUAUCAUUCAAAAUUUUAAUCCAACAUAUUAAAAUCUUAAAGUAUUGUCGUAAAAGAAGCCAAAUAGUGUAAUAGACUAUAAGAUAAACAUUGAUGGAUAAAUGAGAACCCUAUCAAUGCUAUAAAAACUCAAAGAUCUUGGAUUCCUGCUGGCAUGUUAUCCAUCCGUUAACUAAAAUAAAGUUUAAGACCUAUGGCAAGAUUUCAUGCUCAUAUUUUUUACUAUAAAAUAAAUAUUUACAUUUAACAAAAAUAGAAGAACAAAGUAUAGGGUUGGUGCCAAUCCAUUUCCCAAGAACUCAUCUCUCCAUUUCCUCUGUGAUGCUCCUUAUUUUUUUAUUGCUGGGGCAGCUUACAGAGACCAUGGAAUCGAAUAUCAGCAAUCUGAACUCUUUAAGGAAAUGAUGUUGCUGGAUCAGCUUUUCAUCUCUAGAAAAAGCAAAGGAACAAAUGAAUCAUAAACAUGGUAAAUUUGCAGGACAUCUUCGACCAUGCAUCUACCCAUUGUCAGGUCAAACAAGCCCCCAGUUCUUGUAUGAAGACAGGAGCAUUAGCAAUGUGGAUUAUGAUGACCCUUCAGAAUACCAUACGUGGUAGGACUUUUGCCAAAGAAGAAAGAACUUGGACCAUCAUUUGACGGGGAAUAGGCUUUACAUCUUUCCUCUUGAAUGGCUAAUUCGCAAAUUUAUGGCUUCCUUUUUUAUGCUCAAAACAGCCACUUAUUUUGGUAUCAUCCAAAUUGCCACAUGCUAGUAUGUAGUGAGCUUUUCUGAUUCUCACUUUAUAGCAGUGACAAGUGACUGAUCUUGGUAGCUUGAAUUUUUGAGUGAGAAUUAUGAAAGAGUAGUAUAUGGUGAAUACAAUUCUGGAAUCUGAACUAUGAGAAAGGUCUUUGAAUUUAUCAGGAAGAGCAGAUGCUGCCAAAAAAAGGAGGAAGAGCCAGACAAAUUUUGGGAGGGGGAGCAAGCAUGAAUUUUUGAACUGGGUUAUUUGAGGGUUAUCAAAAAUCCUGGAAGGAACUGGAAGUCUAGAGGAUGCAAGAGGAAAUCCAUUUGAAUGCCUUAUCAUGGCUCAAGAAUCCAGUUGCUGCUCUCAUGCUAGAUGCACCAAGUGGCAAAUUGCGCUUGACCAUUUAGUAUCACAAAUUAUGUAUGGCCCUCUUGGCAUGGUUAUCGUAUUUUUGGGAACAAUAUGUUGGAAGUUAAAUCUAUACAACAGUCGGAAUAGAUAGAAAGAAAUUCCUUAUAUUGGCCCCCAAUAAAAGCUAUAUUGUAAUUGUUAGACCCUCCUAGCAGCACUCCUGGGUUGGCAUGGGUUGGUGCCUGAGGCUGUGCCAGCCUAGGUGAAUAGGGGAUGGGUAGGAGGCAUGCCUUGGCAAGGCACCAUUGUGGGCAUGGAGUUUGACCCACAUCAGUGGCAAGAGGGCUACCUACUGAAGCAUGGCUUGAGGAUUACACAAGCCAAAAGCGUAGCAAUUGUUGAGUGGUUUAUGGUCCAUGGGUGGUGAUGGCUUCGGCACAUCAUGGUGCCUAAGUGGCUAGGCACUAGCUGCAAGAUGCAGCAUAGAUACACACAGGACUGCCUGUCUGGGUGUGGCUUGGACUAGGGGCAACAGCUAGGCUAGGCUGCCAAUGCAUGGCACGCACUACAGGGGCAUGGCGUGCAAAGAUUGGUCCGUGGCACGCACACCAAACAUAGACAUGUGCACACCCCAGACAUGGGCAUAUACGCAAGCCAAAGGUAUAAGACGCAUAGGUGUGCAUACCACAGGAAGAAGGCAUGCAAGCCAUGGGCACAUGAGGUGCUCAGGCCACAAGCGCAUAACCCAUUGGCAUGCAGGCUAUGGAAAGGCUCAGGUGCCGCACACUAACUAGGGCACACAAGGGUGAAGGUCGGGUGCUCAGGUAUAGCACACUAACUUGGGUGCACAUCGGCAUGUGGGCACACUGAUGGACGCACAAGGCAGGCACGCAAAUAGAUCUGUCAGAUGAAUUCUAGAGGGGGUUUCUAGUGGAUUUACAUAUGGUUGGACCUGCAACCAGCAGUUGCUCUUGUCCAAAACUCAAACUAGGUGAUUUAUAGCAGUUUUGGGGAGUUUUCCAAUUAUUGGGGAUAUGGUUUGCCAUACCGUCCCAUACCAUACCAUACCAGUAUGCUUUACCGCCUCAUACCGACCCUAUCGUACCAUACCAACCAUGUACCAACACUACAAUAAGAUUUUACUAGUAUGGGAUUUGGUAUCGAUAUAGUGAACCUUGACUAGGGGAUUGUCUACCACAUGGCUAUAGUUAAGUAUGCUUGCUAGCCCUUUGGGCAGAGAUGAGCACAUAGGGCAAAAGAAAGUGUGGUGGGAAGUCCCAUAGGAUUGAGACUUGCUGAGCAACCUCAUAUGUUAGUGCAAAGAGGGAAUAACGGGAGGUUUAUUCCUAGAGGGCCAUUGUAUCUUUUUGUAACUGUAGUAAAGAUUCGGAAAAGGGUUACCUUGACAUUGUGCGCGUGGGUUCUGCACACUUUGGCCCUCCACUAUUGCAUCCCAUAGAAUGUGGUAAAGUCCCAUACAACCUCUCUUGUACAUGGGCAUUGGAAGGUUGACUAAACAAGGUGUUCAGUGCUGUACAAGGCACAGAACUUGGUGAAAAUUUCGUAUCAAGUUAUGACUCUAUGACAAUUGGUAUCAGAGCCUGUUUGAGAGUUCUUUUAGUGGAUUCCCAUCAAAUAUCAAGCAACUUGAUACUAAAGUAGAGGGGUGACCGCUGAUGCACACCUGCAACAUCAACAUGGAGACACUAAGGAAGAGGAUGACCUGGCUGGAGGCAACUAUUCAGGGUGCCGCUAACAGAUCCUAAAGAGCCUCUAUGGAUGUAGGUCGAAAACUUAGUGGCUUGGAUGACCAUACUGCAAGGCUUCGUCAAUGACUUUGUCAAGAUGGCUCAAUGAAAGUAUGAUGAGAUAAUGUCGAACAUUAAAUAUGUCCAGGGCAAUGUUACUCUCGUCAAGACUGCACUAUAAAACCAUUCACUGGGAGAUGGCACAAUGAAGAUGAAGGUCCCUGACCUGACUCAAUGGCACUCGAAGUGCCAAAGAUCUAGACAAUUUUCUAUGGGACAUAGAAUAGUACUUCAAGGCUACACAAUUGCCUAAAGGUGAGAAAGUUUUGAUCGAAAGCAUGCAUCUUGCAGGUGAUGCCAGACUCUGAUGGAGGACCAGGGCCGAAGAUGAUGCUCGACCAAUGAUCGAGACUUGGGAAGUUCUCAAGCAGGAAUUGAAGGAUCAAUUCCUCCCCUGUAACACAACCUGGGGUACGAGGGAUGUGCUUAAAAUGCUGAGGUAGACCGCUUCUGUGAGAGACUAUGUCAAUGAAUAUAGUUCUCUGAUGCUAGACAUCAAGGACAAGUCUAAAGCAGACAUAUUGUUCAACUUCCCAUCAAGAUUGCAACCAUAGGCUCAGUUGUAACCGUGAAGGUAGGGUGAGAAAGACUUGCUGACCGCAUUGGCUAUUGCAAAUGAAUUGGUGAAUCUUAGAAACAACAAACCCAAUAGUGGUUCUUCCACCAACGAGAGCAAGUUCAUGGACAAAGAAGUCGGUGAAAGGAAGACCAAGGUUGUUGGCAAGGGGAAGGCUAAAGUAAAGGGCUCCAACUAGAAGGACUAAUUGUUUCAUUUGUAAUGGUCCUCACUUGGCUAGGAAUUGCCCCAAUCCAAAGAAGCCCAAUGUUGUAGUAGUGGAGAGCAGCUAGAAUGGCAAACCUAAUUCUGAAAGUCUAGAAAGAAUUGCUCCUUUGCAAUUGCUGGGUGCAAUCAAGGCAGAGAAGGCAAAUGAUUGUUCCAAUUUCAUGUUCAUGAAGAUGAGAAUCAAUGGGCAAUAUAUGGCAACUCUGGUUUACAUGGUUGCUACCUAUAUCCUUGUCACUAAGAAGGUCAUGGGUGCUUUGGGCUUGAGUGUGGUGAGACACUAGCCAGCUCAAAGUAGUGAAUUCCUAAGCAUAGGCCAUAAAGGGUAUGGCCUAUGGCGUCAAAGUUUCCAUCACGGAUUGGGACGGUCAAAUGAACCUGAUGAUGAUUUCACUGGAUGACUUUGACAUGAUUCUAGGCAAUGACUUUUGUGUCUGCAAAGCUGGCAAUUAUGCCAUAUAUGUUUGGGUAGCUAAUCAAUAAUGAGAAGCCAUACUUCGUGGUAGGGCAUGGAAUGCCUACAAAUUAGAUGACGACAAGCACAAGGCAAAGAUGGUCUCUGCCAUGCAAUUGGCCCAUAGUUUGGAGGAGCCAACCUUGGAGCAGUUGGAGCAACUCAAAGGCCACCUAUCUCACAUCUUGCCGAGGAUGUUGGGUUCUUUCAGUGGGGGUGGUCUGUUAGAUGCUCACUAGUGGCACUCAUGGGUUGGCACAGGUUGGUGCCUGGGUCUAUGCCAGCCUAGGUGAAAAGGGCAUAGGAGGCAUGCCUUGGCAAAACACCAUUGUGGGCAUGGAAUUUGGCCCACGUCAGUGACAAGAGGGCUUACUACUGGAGCAUGGCUUGCAAUUCCACAUGCCAUAAGCAUGGAACUUGUUGGUCUCGUGGUUUGAUGGUCCAUGGGUGGUGAUGGCUUCAGCACGUCACUGAGCUCAAGUGGCUGGGCACUAGCCGCAAGAUGCGAUGUAGACAUAGAUGGGACCAGAUGUGACUUGGAUGAGGGGCAUUCGCACUAGGUUGGGGCACUAAUGCAUGGCUCAUGCUAUAGGGGCAUGUGCGCACCCUAGGCACAAACACAUGCACACCCUAGGCAUGGGCGCAGGAUACGCAAUCCAAAGGCAUGCAAGCCAUGGUCAAGCAAGGCACAAGUGCACAUAAUGCAGGCACAUAGGCCAUAAGCACAAGAAGCACUCGAGCCAUAGACACACAGGUCAUGGGCAAGCAACCCGUUGGCGCAUGGCUGUGGAAAGGCCUAGGCAUAGCACACUAAUCUAGGCACGCACAAGUGGAGGCCAGGCGUCCAAGUGUGACACAUUGACUUGGGCAUGCAUGGGUGGAGACCUGAGCACCUAGGUGAGGGCACAGGCUGUAGUCACACGGGCGCAGGGGAGGGUAUGCGAAAGGCCUCACAAGCAAGCAUGAGGAUGAACCAGUCGCGUAGGUGCACAGGCAUGCUGGCACUUAGGCACAUAGGUGCACAGACGUGCUGGUACUCAAGUGCACGGGCACCUAAGCAAACAGAUUUGCUAGACAAUUUGCUAAAGGGGGUUUCUAGUAGAUUUACAUAUGGUUGGAACUACCAUCAGCAGUUGCUCCUGCCCAGGACUCGAACCAAGAGGUUUGUAGUAGUUUCGGGGAGUUUCCAGUGGUUGAGGGAUUGUCCACCACAUGGCUGUAUGCAGGCUUGCUGGUCGGCCCUUUGGGCAAGGAUAAGCAUGGCGGGCAAAGGAAAAUGAGGCGGGAAGUCUCAUAGGGUUGAGACUCAUUAAGUGACCUUACAUGUUUGGGAAAGGAGGGAAUAACAGGAGGUUUGCUCCUAGAGGGCCAUUGUAUCUUUGUUACCCAUGGAUUGUAACAAAGAUCAGGAAAAGGGUUUCCUUUACAUGGUAUAUGUGGGUUCUGCACACUUUGGCCCUCCACUGCUGCAUCCAUACAAUGUGAUAAAGUCUCAUACAGCCUCUCUUGUGCAUGAGGGUUGGAAGGCUGACUAAACAAGGCAUUCAGUGCCACACAAGGCACAAAACUUGGUGAAAAAUUCGCUGCAAGUUCUGGCCUGUGACAGUAACCAUGAUCGAUAUAAGGAACAAAUUGUUAAAUAUCCAGGGAAGUGGAAGCUAAUAUUUUAUAUAGUCAAAUAACUAGAUGUCAUGUGCAUAUAGAUUGACAGUAAGCUAGAUGCUAAAAUAAGAACCACCUAUUAAUUGUUAAGCAAUAAUGGGUAACAGCAUGCAUGCAUGAACAUACAUACAUACAUACAUACAUACAUACAUACAUACAUACAUAUAUAUAUAUAUAUAUAUAUAUAUAUANNNNNNNNNNNNNNNNNNNNAUAGAGAAAAGAGAAUGCCUGCAAAUGGGAAUGGGACACAGUAAGGAUAGAUAUAUAUCUAUAUAUAUCUAUAUAUAUAUCUAUAUAUAUAUCUAUAUCUAUAUAUGUGUGUGUGUGUAUAUAUAUAUAUAGAUAUAGAUAUAUACACAUACAUAUACAUGUAUAUAUACAUACAUAUAUACACACACAUAUACAUGUAUAUAUAUAUAUACAUAUAUAUAUACAUAUACAUACAUACAUGCAUACAUAUGUACUAUAUGUGUGUGUGUGUGUAUAGUACAUAUGUACUAUGUAUAUGUACAUGUGUACAUAUGUACAUAUGUACACAUGUACAUAUGUACUAUGUAUAUAUACAUACAUAUGUGUGUGUGUGUGUGUGUGUGUGUGUAAGAGCAAAAAGAACCUCAUAAACUGCAUGUACGAAGUAUUACUUCAUUGAUGUGCCUAAUGCAAACUGUAUCUUCAGAAAAAAGGAGAGGACGGGGAAGAUCCGACCUUAAUUAUGGCUGGUGUUGGUAAAUCUAUGGGGUCCAUGGCAUCACCCAUAUAAGAGCACAUAAGAGAGAAGGCAGCUCGAUCAUAGAAGGUAUCCUUUCUUGUAAUCAAAAAGGAUGAUGUCAGAAAGUCCUGUGUUGAAGCUACUAAUAUUUCCCCAUUCUUUGGUGUGCACAAGUUAUUUUGCACCUGUGAAACAAAAAAUAGAAAAAGGAAAUAAAUGCCUUGGUAACACAAUGAAAAACAGGUCAAACAUUGAGAAAUUUACGGUAAAACAUAAAACAGAAGACAGGGACCAAAGAUGUGACUCGGGAAAAUUAGUGCAAGACAAGUCAGAUAAAACCAGAAAAGGAUUGGUUACAAUCAGCCCAAACAUGAAAAAGUGGGGGAGAGGACAGAAAUGUUGAAAAACAUUUGAAAAAAGCAUGGUAAACUGACAGGAAUGCAUUAGAAAAUAGUUUUCCAAGUUAAUCUGGAUUUACCACAUUGGCAAUUGUUCCUCUGCUCCUUUUAUGCUUUGAGAAUAUAAUAAAUUCUUAAUAGGACUACCACUGGUUACAAACAGAAGCCAGUUUCAUAGCUAUUGUCAGGGAAAACAUACAAUAAACUGUCACCUCCCUAAGCUUGUUAAAGUUCCACAAACCAUCUUAUACCAACCUGCAACUUUUCUAUUAGAAUGAAAAUAUAAAGAUAUUAAUUACAUCAUAAACCAAAGGACAUCAACAUGCAGGUUCAAACCUUGCAAACUUACUGCAGCUGAUUGUGUUUCCUUACAAAGUAUUGUGUGUGGAACUUCAUUUUGUUUUCCUUUUGACUCUAUCAUCACCAAAAAGACUUGCUCCCUUUUAACUCUACCUUUCUUGGGUUCUGCACGUGCCAACAGUAACUUCUUUCCCCCUUAAGAAUCUACUCAAUCUAGUUUAAAGGGAUUUAACCAAAAUAUUCAGACAUAAGAUAAAUGAUUCUUAGAGAGCUAGGCAGUUCAAGAUCCCAAAAUAGAUGGGAGAAAACUAGGUAUUUACACAUACACAAACUCUUAUUCAUGUGUAUGAUGCAAAAAAAGCAAAAAACAUUCCCCUCUCAGACAAUCCAAAGACCAAGGACUUGCUCUUUAUUUCAACCAUGCAAUAUCUAAGAUAAAAUUCAUAACUAAUCAUCAUUACAAUCCAUAGAAGUCAGCAUCCACUCACAUAUGCAAAUAAUAGUUAUGCUACUUAUGACCCCCUGGAGCUCAGAAUGAUAAAGUUCUCAUCUAGAACAACAUCAAAAUUCCCAUGAAAUUCAUGCACCCAAUCUUUUUAUUUAUGUGGACCCAUACGCAACCUGUCAGCCCAAUUAGAGAUUCACUUUUCAACUAUGUAUCUUUAGAAAUGAAGUAUAUGGACUUACAAGAACUUAUGGAACAUCAGGACUUACACUUUAAAAAAAAAAAGCAUGGAUACAUAUUUAUCACCUUACAUGUGUGGAUAAGUUCCUUGAGAUCCUUAUUGAGCAUUAGUCUCUGUUAUUUGAGAGUCAAUUAAAUAGAAACAUAACACUACUUCUACCUUUUCCCUUUACGUAAAAAAAAGAUAAUCUUUCUUAUUAAAGAUUUAUUUCCCAAGUUCACAUUUAAAUCGUUUUAAGCAUUUCUGAAAUGCUCAACAUCUCCACAUUUCUUUUAUGUGAACAUCUUCAUUUAUAACUUCCAAGAUAUCUUUAAGUAAUCAUGAAUUUCAAUCAAGAACUUUGCCAGAUUAAGAGCCACAUAGGUGAGGCAUUGGGUUGGUUCAGGUUGGAUUUGGGUUUUAAUCAAAACAAACUUGCAACCUCGGCACAACCCAUUUAUCAUAAAUUUGGAGGAAACAACUAAUAAAUACAUAUCCAGUCAAUUUAUUUCAAAUGGAUAUGUAUCAACUUGUGAGCCCAGUCAAAGCUUCACUUGUCAAUUACCUGCAGAAAUGAAAAGAAAGUAGGACCAAGACAAAGGGAUCUAAGGCUGCUUCCAAGCACGAGAAAGGUGAGGAAAGGAAACUGACAUGGAGAACAAAAUGAAAUCAGAAUCACGUAGUUUAACCCUCCACUUUCCCUUCAAUACUUUUUACCCCGCUGCAAAGCAUUAACUGCAUGGGCUCAUCACCACAGAGCCUCUGCCUGUGGCUGAUAACGCUACCAUGUAUUACAAUUGUUGGACCUAGCCUGGACUUUAAGGGCCCAUUGAACCGAGGGAGAUCUGAUAGUCUAAAAACCAAAGCCUAAGCUGACCUAAUCAUAAGCAUGUUGGUUUUGCAUAUCCCCACAACUAGCAUAAUUAUGAAUAACUAUCAAACAAACCACCUUAUUUUGGACAGGUUGCCAGGUCCAGUUCACCAACUGCCAACCCUAACCCAUCAUAUUUGUGAGAUUGGCUUAAAUUCAUAAUACAAGGAUGGUUUUGAAGUUGAAAACCCUAAAAAGACCCACAAAGAGAAGAAGAGAAAAGAAAAGAAAAGACUAAUGAGAUAGUAUUAUAAAAUUGUUUUCUACAUGUAGUGUCUAAAAUAAUAUACCAUGUGUCUGCUGACAAUUUCUUUUUAAGUAUAAUCUAUUGUAUAUGACUGUGAAAAUGAGCUUAUGUGCCUCUUACAUAGAAAGGAAAACAGAUUCUCCAUAUAGAUCCCAGCUAUUAAAAGAACAAAUCACAAUGUUCACCAUGUCAUUCCCCAUAUUAACAUUUUUCUACUGGAACUCAAAGGAACUUUGCUGACUUGAGACUUAUGGCAUUCACUAGACUCCUUUCAAAUUUAGACUGUGACAAUGGCUACGAAGGGAACAAAAGUACCUUGCAACCUCAAGCUGGAAAACUAAUUUAAUACAGCUACCAAGUAUUACGAAAUGACUUUUAAAAAAUACCCCCAUAAGCAUAAGAGCUUCGGUACGAGCUUCUUCUGUUUGAGGAACAUGCAAAUUCAUCUCAUCACCAUCAAAAUCAGCAUUAUAAGGAUUGCAGACGGAUUCAUUGAACCUCAGUGUUCUCCAGGGCAUUAUCCUUGCCUACAGCCAUGAUGAUAACAAAAAAAAGGUGUAAAUAUAAAGUCAAAAACUUCAACAAAUGAAUGUCAAGAUAAACAUAUAAGCAUACCCUAUGACACAUUAUGGACAUCCGAUGAAGGCUCGGUUGUCUGUUAAAAAGGACAAUAUCUCCAUCUUCCAAAUGCCUUUCCACAACAUAACCAUAUUUCAGCUCAUUAGCAAUAUCCCUCUUAUCCACAUAUCUCAAAUGCCUGCAAGAGAACAACUAUAACUAAAUAAUAAUUCAAAAGCAUAAAUACACUUCAAGUUACGAAGCUAAUACAAUUAACAGCUUACACUUUUGAGCCAUCAGGUCGUAAAACAAAAUUUGCCCCAGGAUAUUUGGAAGGCCCAUUGCGGACAAGCUGUCGCAACUUCUCUAUGUUAUAGUUAGAAACCCUUUCUGGGUAUGUUAAAACCCGGGCCAUCAAUAUGGGAAUUGCUACCUGGAGCACACAGAUGACAACACUUAGUGAGGGGAAAAAAUGAAUGCCGGAAGAUCUAAUGUCCAGUCCACAAUCUCUAAACAGGUUUACCUCUGUGAUUUUCAAAUUUGGAUCAGGAGAAAUGACAGUCCUUCCAGUAAACUCAACACGCUUUCCAGAUAAGUUACCACGGAAACGCCCCUGCUUUCCUUUAAGCCGUUGAACAAGCCCACGAUGUUUUGAAUCAGGAAUACAAGGAGCUUCGCUAUUUAUAUACUCGACAACUUGAAUUUGAAGGUGCGUCCAGCAAUCCUGAUAAGGAAUCAACAGCAAUUUUUUAACACUCAAAGAUAACAAUCGAAAAUCCAUCUAGGCUUGCAUAAUUUAAUCAAGACAUAAGGUCAGAUAAGCAAGACAGAAGUCAAGAACUAUUUUCUAAGAACAAAUCAAGUCAGAAUAGGAAACUGAAUAUGAUAUCCGCAACUAGAUUGAAAAACCCCAUAUUAUAUAACAUAUACCCAAAAAGAUGCAGCAUAACUUAUUAAAUAUGGUAUAGUUACAAUACUGAGAGGUAUUUCUUGAAGUUGUCUAAAUAGCAUCUACAGCCAUGGCGUGAGCAUGUGAUAAAAACCAAGACUCACUCCCAUGCAUUUGUUUUCAUUUAUACAAUUCUUCUUCUGCCGCACAUUCAUAUAAACUCCCAGCAUAUUCAGUAGCAUAAAACGAGGGAUUAGUAUGUCACCAGUAAACAAUGGUCUCCUCAAAGAGAGAAGACUCAAAAAACAAUGCUUCUGUCAUAUUCCAUACUCAAAAGAAUGGCCAACUCUCAUUCAUCAAAGAAUUUUACAUAGAGAUAAUCCAUCAAAUUUUAAUUAUUUUGUCUAGAGUCUUUUCAAAGCAUUGUUUAGUUAUCAAUAUAUAUUCUGGUGCUACAGGCUAGACUAGAGAUCUAAUUGACAAGGAAUGUUCUAAUUUUUGUAAAUGACUUCAAAAUUUUGUACAGUAUACUUAAGGGUAAUACAAAUUUUUAAUAAUUGGUGGGUAAAGAUUUUAGUUUCUUAAUCACCAUGUGGCUUUCUAGGUAUGUUCCAAGUAAAAAGAUUUUCAAAGGAUGUGCAACAAGAAACCAUUUGCUCUGUACUUAAUUAAGUGAAAUAUCAAGUAAAAGAGUGGCAUUUUCACAUUGAAUGCUGAUGAUUUGAUGCUCAAGUUAAACAUGUGUCCCAUGACCGUACAGUGAGAGGCUCUCUAAAUGCUCUUGGUUGAAUUGGGUUGUGUCACUGAAAUUUUAAGCACAAAGCAAAACAAAGUUGGUGUCUAUCUGAUCGUUCUUUGAGAUCUCUACAGUUUCAAAGUACCACUAGAUCUGUUAUCUAGAAUUAGAGUUGAUCAAACACUGUGCCAGGCUGGGCUCAGACCAGGCUCUAUAGUAGAAGAUAGGCCCGAUGCCUAUGCCAGGCCUAGACUAAUCUUAAAGAGCCGAUCCUAGGCCUGCCCACUUGGCCUGAUUUCCUCUUCUCCCAACUAUUAUAGGCUAAGUGCAAUAUAAUAUAUUAUCAUUUUAUUAUAAUAUAUAAUUAGUUCUUAUAAUUAAUAAAUUAUAUAUAUAUAUAUAUAUAUAUAUAUAUAUAUAUAUAUAUAUAUAUAUAUAUAUAUAUAUAUAUAUAUAUAUAUAUAUAUAUAUANNNNNNNNNNNNNNNNNNNNNNNNNNNNNNNNNNNNNNNNNNNNNNNNNNNNNNNNNNNNNNNNNNNNNNNNNNNNNNNNNNNNNNNNNNNNNNNNNNNNNNNNNNNNNNNNNNNNNNNNNNNNNNNNNNNNNNNNNNNNNNNNNNNNNNNNNNNNNNCUCAGGCUAGGCUAAACUUGCCUAUUUUUUAAUUUUCCUAGGCACGGCCCGAUUCUUAGAUUGGACCUACUUUUUCAAGACCAUCCUACAGGCCUAUUUUUAGUGCCCAAACCCACUAAAUUUCGGGCAAGCCUGGGCAGGCUAGUGGGCCACCUAGCCCAUGAUCGACUCUAUCUAGAACCCAAAAAUGCUGCCUAGGAUGGUAAUUUUCACUUGGUUGCUUUAUCAAGAAACACAUUUUCAAAACACUGAAAAAGAAAGAAGAAAUCUCCUUAUCCACUAGACGAGUCCAUUUUUGGAAACUAGUGAGAAUAUUAAUCACCUCUUUCAUGGUGAAGGUAAUGUUAAACAUUAGGAGAGCUAGUAAAGAUGACAAAUAUAAUAAAUAAACAUAUGGAGAGAUAGAUAGAGAGAGAGAGAGAGAGAGAAGGAGAGAUGAGAGAGAAUUUUAAGUCAAUUUAAAGCAACUGAGAAGUUGUGCAUCUUCUCAUGUUUAUAUCACAAAUCAACCUUGAUGACACAUCUAUAAACUCAUAUGUUUUGAGAAAAUAAAAAGAGAAAUAGAUAAACAAUUAAAAAAGAUUAUUAAUUGCCACACUAAAAACAAGUCAAGCAGAAUCAGUAACUAGCAGCUACAUAUUACUCAUGAAACUGAAUGGCACAAGCAUAGAUACAGACCUUGGAUGAGCAAAGAUAUAGAUACUGGAUGAUGUUAUAGAAAAGAGAAGAAAAAGGAUUGCAUUUAAGUUGUGUCAUGUGUUCCAUCCAAUAUCAUGGUUUGGGAUGGUUAUGUUAUUCCUACUUAAAAGUUUUUUGAAUCAAAUAAUUUAAUAGUAAAAGAAACAUACAGGCCAGCAUAAACAUAAGGAAAAUGUAACAAUAAAUAUUUCCAAUAGGUAACAAAUAAACAUUAUGCCCCAAAUACUGUAGUUGGUGUAUUUGUGUUCAGUGUCCAGUGUGAUUGAGGAGAGUAUGAAACAGUAAAAAGUUGAUUCAAAAAUCAAGUAGGUGGAAAAAUGCAACCACCUUAAAUCACAUGUUUUUCUUGUAUGAACCUAUUUACAUCAGGUGCAUGGAUGGAUGCAAUCAAAGGAAUGGAAUUUCAAAAUUGAGGGACUCAUGGACCAAUGUAGAUUAUAAAUAGUCAGAUCCAAACUAAUUUAACCAAUACAAUGAACCCGGAUUGUGCUCACACAAAUAACAUGCCUUUGGCCUUCUGUGUAACUUCCACUCAAUAUGGAUUUCCUACAUGAUCAAUGGAUCACAAAAGGCUAUCUGGUUAUCAUCUACCUGUGUUCCAUUAAAGUCUAGAACUGAUGUCAAACUCAAUUAUGGUGGAGGGGAAUGCCGGUUAAUUAACACGAAGUGAGAUGAAAUAGUUACUAAAGAUGCUCUUAAUUUGCAAUUGGAAGGGGGUGAUGAUGUCAAAUUGUUAAUAUUGUAUAACAGUAGCUGGUUGAUGGUUGCAAUCCCCCAUGAAAAGAGAGAAGGCUAGGUUAGAAAAUCAUGAUUCUUCCUCGAAUAGGAGAUGCCAUCUCAAGAGAAAGGUGCUAACCAUUCUUCCAAUAGGAAGACAAGAACUAGAACUUUGGCUUAAGGUUGUUCUCUCGGUGCAAUAGUCCAAUUUGUUAUGUUUCCUUGGACUCCCCAACAUAGCUGCUUUCAAGUUUAACACUUGUGUUGGUCUUCACUUAUCAUCCAAGUAAAUAAAGAUCAUACUAAAAUUCUCCAGGAACAGCAUGCAGAGGUAAGGCUAUGUAUCUCUAGCCCUCUCUAGACCCCAAAGUGAUGCGAGCCUCGUGCAUGUGGGCAACUCUUUUUUAACUUAAAAAAUUGUCCAUAUUAGCAAAGAAACCAGGCGCACAAGACAAAUCUUAAGAAAUAAGGCUUCUUGAAGUUAGUUUGCAAGAUGUGCUCAAUGUUAAAAAGCAAAGGAUUGAAAUUUGGUUAACAAUCAAAACAAAGCAUGUUGAACCAAUGUUUAUGGUAUCAAUACCAUGACCGUGCUAGUCAAGUAGUGUGUCAAUAUGUAUGAUACCAUGCCGUACUAAUACACGGUACACAAGAUCAUUAUGAUCAGUUACCCGUAAUCCAAAAGAUAAUUUUUCUAUUUUUUAGGUUUUCCAAGACGAUUGAACUAAGGGGCCAUUGCUUGGUGCAAUGAUAAAAGGCUUGCACUGAUAAGUGCAACGGCACAGGUUUGAAUCAUAAGGUGCCAAAAAAAAAACAAAAUUUAGGUCUAUCCCGGUUUGCCCCUCCUAAGACCUCAAAUUGCUGGGAACAUAACCAGGUAAUGGCCUUUUUCUAAGAUGAUGAAACUCAAAUCUAGGGAUUUUAGACUUUUAUUUGUCAUAUGUUUCAAUUUUUUCUAAAUUUAGUAGCCUUAGGAUAUAUUUUUCUAAUUAAAAAAUUAACAUAUUUGAUGUAUAUAUAUUUAAAAAUUAUAUCUAUAAAUUAGAUUAUAAUUUGGGUUAAUGCAGCUACAUACAAGGGAUGCUACAUAUAUUUAUUUUUUAAGCCCAUGAGAUCUUCUUGCCUACUUAUUUUUCACAUUCACUUAAUUUUGGUCUGCAGUUUGGUAGCCUUAAACAUGCUCCAAAAUAAGGUAAAUGCUGCGAAAAAAAAAAAGAUAGCUAAUGCACACAUCCAACUAGAUCAUGUGACAACUUGCUAUUAAUUUUCGUUGGUAAAUAAUAUAAAUUAUUUUUAAAUUUUUAUCCAAAAAUAUAUUUUAGAAAAAGAUAAAUAUUAGCAGUGAAAAAAUUGGCAUCAACUUGUAGAUCACCAUAGGUCUACAAUAUAUCAUGAAAUUAUGCCAAAUACAAAACUUUGGCAGAUUUCCCUUAUUUUUUCCAUUAUUCAGUCACUUUUGGCAUAAAAAUUGAAAAAAGAGAAGAGGAGAAAUUCUCACUGUUUAGGCUUGAAUCCAGCUACAAUGGUGGGGGAAUCUCCUCCCGAACUCACCCUCUCCCUCCAUUCUCCUCUGUUCCACCAAACCAAAGCAAGAGACAACAAAGAAAAGGGUCAAAAGACCUAUUUUCUCCAGCUCGCUCAGCUGGUGGAGAAUUGGUAGAUGCCAAUUUGUGCUGCCCAGAUGGGUCAAUUCCAAUCAGGGAAUGGAGAGGUUCAGCCCUUGCCCAAAAUCAAAAGCUUGAACCAUCUAGUUUCUUGGCUGGGUCAGUAUGUCAUGCUCUAGGCCACCCAAUUUGGGACAGCUCACAGAUUGAGUCAAACUACAAAAACUGUCAGAGUUACACAUAUCUCGAUUUUCCAUCAAUUUGGUAUGUCAUGCUCCGUGCCACCCAAUUUGAGACAGCUCACAGAUCUUGAGUCAAACUAGACAAACUAUCAGAGUUGCACAUAUCUAGAUUUUCCAUCACUUUGUUUGGGACAAAAUGAUGGACAAUCAAAUGAAAUAGUAUAGGCAUGUACAAGAAAACUUGAGCAGGCUCCAAUAAGGAAGGUUAAUUUAUUCUUUAUUUCAGAUUAGGAGAGAAGGAAAGGCCUACAGUAACAUGGAUGAAUUUGUGAAGAAUGGCGUAGAAAAGUUUGAGAUGAUAUUGGAGGUCACAUUAAAUAGGAAUACUUGGUGAAUAAGGAUUCAAAGAGCCAGCCCAUGUAUACAGGACAAGGCUUGAUAAUCAGAAUUAUAGUUGUGCUCAAGAUCCACAUGUCAAUCAGCAUAUUACUGUCACCAAUAAAAGCUUUACAAAAUGUAAUAUGGAUAGCACACUCUGUAAAAGAUAAAGGAAAUAUAUGGGAAAAGCAGAUCAAGAACUUCAAACAAAAUUUGUAGCUUAUCACAACAACUCCAAACAUCUUAUCAAGACUUUCAAGAAACUAACAGAUCUGGCUAAAAUGUUUAAACAAAGAACCAAGAAAUGAUGAGACAAAAGAAUUACUAAUAAGUCUCACCAAACACUUGAAUGGAGGGGCAGCGCCUUCAAGAUCCUCUCGAAGUAUAGAAUUCGUGUUUAUUAUAUUUUUUAAUAUGCUAGUAAUAUUAUCCUCAUUGCUGCAUGAUUGAAAAAAAUCAAGUUACUACAACAAGUUAUAACAAUGUCCUGUCAAAAUGCUUCUUCCCUAGAGAAGCAACUAUAGCAUAAGAAAGGAAAUACUGCAAGAACAAACCUUGAUCUUCCGGAAUCCACGAUGACAGAAGGGCGAAUAGAGACAGGUGGUACUGCAAUAUGUGUCACAAUAAGUUUUUCAGGCCUAUCAUAAAGAUUAAGCAAUUCACAAUCCUGUACCACAAAACAACAAAAUUAUGAACUUAUCAAUUUAAAAAAGGGAACAAGUAAAACUCCAUCAUAACACAAACUUUUCCUCUUUUUUUUUUUUCUUUUUUUGCCUUUUGGUGGAGGGGGGUGUGGGGGCAGGGGGGUUCUAGUAUGUAGCCAGUAAACAGUGAGCUUAUACCUCAUCAAGCAUUUUUCUGAAAAGAGAAAGAACUGCAACAGCACUUAAAACAUGUGAAACUUGGAAUGAUGUUUUAUCUUUUGUGUGAGAUAAUGCAGAACGGAACUCUUCUACACUUGGAUCAGCAGUUUUGCUAAAAUCUUGAAUAAAAUACAGUCCAGAUCUUGCCUUUUUCACCACACCUGCACUUAAGAAUAUACAAGUGCUAGUCAGAGAGAGAGAGAGAGAGAGAUAGAAUAAAAAAUGGCUGAAACAGGAGUUGACUUUUCAAAACAAAAUCAUGUGUGUUAUUACUGUGAUAUUCUUGAACAUAUUGUUUGCUGGUUCAUGUUGUUUGCCUCUUGUUCUUAAUUGGUUUCCUUGAAAUGAAUUUUUAAUUAAUUUUAACCUAAGAACCAAACAUAACCAGUCUUGGUUGCGUAGGUUCAUUUUGUUUCAAGAUUAUCUGGUUCCUAUCAGGUUUUAGAAAGCGAGAACUGACCAGGAUCUAUCGGUACUAGUUGACACUAACUCAAACCCACCCACAUUAUGAUGGAAUAGUCAUAUUGCCUUCUACCCAAUUACGGUAACACUAUAAAGCCCCACCCGAGAAUAAAAGAGUAAAGCAAUGACGAAAGAGAGUGAUACCCUCAAGAUAGAAUGUUCCACGAUGACUCAAAGCCCCAAAACAAAAACUAUUUUAACAAGAAGGGUUAUUUCCCAACUCUGCAAAUUCACAUCAAACAGCACAAACAAAAAAGGUAUAAGCAGUAGUCCAUGGGUGAGAAGAAAAAUUCACUAAUUGGAUGCUGACAAGGCAUUCAACAUUUACAAUAUUCAGGCUACCUGGUUUCUUUAAUGCCAAACAGCAUGUAAUAGAGACAUUUCAUAGCAAGAAUUUAUGUAAAGCAUGUAAUCCAUGGAAACAUGAGUUCUUGAAAAUUUGUCUUCAAAGUUUUACCCUGCCAUAACUUUUAUCCACAACCUAGUCAGAAAAAGUCAAACAACCUGAUUGACAGGAAGAAAGAGACCAGUGAAUAGCAAAGCCUAGAUAAACCAGUCUAAAAUGAGAAACAACAUUGCAUGAGGAAAAAAGCAAUAUUAAUGUUGAAAUAAUUUUAAAUGCUUUCGUCUCCAUGAUUCAAGUUCACAAUAUUAAAAUGAAAGAUUCAUUUGAAAGUCAAACAUGAUGCAUGGACCUACAAAAUAAUAAGUGGCAAACAACAAAGAAAAUAGCACCACAUCGUAGUAUUAAAAGCACUAUAAAGAACUAAUAGCAUAACACUAACCAUUUGCAUAUCCACACCGGAGGCAACGAGAAGGUUUGCAUUUGUCUCUAACCAUCUUCAUGAGAGCAUUCUUCUGAAAGAUAUCAGCUUUAGGAUUUCUCAUUUUCUUCAAAUAUGAUUUGCGAAGUGUCUCAUCAAGAAGUAUCCUACCACAGCCCUAUAAAGCAUAUCGUAGCACACUAACAUUAGAAUCAGCAUCAUUACAUAAUAAAAGUAGAAGUUUCUGAUAAAACAUCUAAAUAGAAGUAGUGACUCAAGCUCUAAAUUACAAGAAAAUUAUGAAACAUGUCUUAGAGGAAGAGACAUACCUUACAAAUACACUUCAAGAUGUUUAGUAUAGAAUUAAAAUAGCCAACAUUAAAAACAGGGAGUGUGAGCUUCAAGUAUCCAAAGUGUCCAGGACAAUCAGUGAAAUUUCCAUGGCAUGUAGCGCACUCAGUUUGUCUGUUGGGAGCCCCCUGCAAUUUUAGAUAAAGAGAAUAUGACACCAGAGUAAAUUUACAUUUUAGUGGAAUGAAACAUGACUAUGAGAAAGAUAGUGUUAUUAUGUAUCCUUCAAAGAGCACUAGUAUUUCAAUUUUCUUUUUUAAGAAAAAUUUCCUAAGUGUUUGUGACUCUAGCAAAAAUCUAAAUACUAUGGAUGUACACAAUAUUCAUCAAUUAUCAUGCUUCCAUGUCAGCUUCGGGAAGCACAUCUCCAAUUGUACCCCCACUUUUUUUCAUUUAGUAUAAUUUUUCAUUACCAUUGACAUAAAAACUACUAUACAGAAACUAUGGAUACCCCUGUUAAGAAAUAUCAUGUGUUUGCUGACAUAAUUAACAUUUCUUUUAAGGGUAAUGGGGAGACCAAGAGACUUCAGCAAGCUUCCCACUAAACAGCAGUUAUGUAGUUUCAUUGUGAACUGCAUUCAGCAGGUCAGCUUUCAGCUUUCUGAGACACCAGUAUCAUUCAUUGAAGGCCUUCAAGGCAACCACCCUGGAUCAUAAGGCGCUGGUCAUCAGUUUACAGUUGUGAAAAUUCCAGUGACAAGACAUGAGUAACAGGCACUAACUGAGCAGACUUCAGGUGGCCAUCAAACUCCUGCAUACUCUUGCCCCAAGUUCACCAGCCUAUGAACAUCAUCAUCCCUAUAAAGCAUGAAGAUGCUUGUAUAGUGGAGUUGCUUAAUUACCUUCCGAAGAGUCCUUGCUAGAUGCAACAGACACAAAAAUUCAGCUGAGUUCGAGGUGUGUCAAAAACUUGGAAUAAGUCUUCCAUAUAAAUGGUUAAAAUUCAUGAUGAUGCCAUAACAAAAUUAUUGAGACUUCCUUGUAUCACCCUAAUUCUCUGGCAUCGAUUUCCCAUUGCCGAUCGAUGUAGCAUGCAAUCAGAAUAUACAAAUCAUGUAUCUAUAUUUAAUCUUCUUUUAACAGAAAAAGAGCGUGAUGGUACAAGAUAUACUAAUCCAAUCAAGAAGAUGAAACUAAGAAGAAGAAAAUCAGGAAAGGAUAAAAGGCAAAUGGACCAGGAAGUACCAUUCGAGGAUCAAGCAAACCAUUCUCGAUCGGUUUCAGAUUGAGGUCGUAGAUUCUAUUGUUCCAGACUUGCACCUCUGCCAGUUUCCGUAUUUCCUCACCAGAAAACGUGCUAAAUCGAAUGCUUUUUCUGCGGAAAUAAUAAGAGAGAGGGUCAAUGUAAAAAAGAAUGAUUGCACUUCCAAAGAACAAACUUGAGUUCAGGAAGCAAGACUGGAAAGCAAUCUAAUAUUUUAAAUCAGUGUUCCAAAAACUCGUUCAUCUCACAUCUUUCGAGGGCCGACGUCCUCGAUAUACGGUUCCUUCGUGCAUCUUAGCUUCUCCUGCAUAAUUCCGAGCAAGAAAGGCCAAGAAAAACCUCAAGAGAGAAGCGAAAUCGAACUCAAUAAAGCAGAAUGUCGACGAACGUGGAGAUAAGAGGGCGAUCAGAGAGGACGGUUCCUAAUCCGAAGGGAAGAACGCUAGGUUUGUUAGGGUUUUGCAAGGGUAUUCGAGUUCUUGAAGGUCGGUGCCCGUAGGGCGAGGCACGACUAGCGACGCGGUAGCCGUGCGUGCUCAGAACACCCGCCUCCGCCUCCCUUCGUUCGGCAGGAACGGCGAACCUGGCGGGUUUAAAUCUUGGGGUUGUCUCAUAAGAGGAGGUGCUUGCACCGCCCGCAUAGGCAACUACUAGACCCGGUCGGCCCAUCUUCACUCACUCACUCAGCGAAAAAGGCCGUGCACGAGAGGACCCCCAACGUUAAUUUAAGGGGCUUUGCUGCAUACUCUAAAACCUCUUUUAGUCUUUUUUCUUUUUUUUUUUUUUUUUUUUUUUUUUUUUUUUUUUUUUUUUUUUUNNNNNNNNNNNNNNNNNNNNNNNNNNNNNNNNNNNNNNNNNNNNNNNNNNNNNNNNNNNNNNNNNNNNNNNNNNNNNNNNNNNNNNNNNNNNNNNNNNNNNNNNNNNNNNNNNNNNNNNNNNNNNNNNNNNNNNNNNNNNNNNNNNNNNNNNNNNNNNNNNNNNNNNNNNNNNNNNNNNNNNNNNNNNNNNNNNNNNNNNNNNNNNNNNNNUUUUUUUUUUUUUUUNUUUUUUUUUUUUUUUUUUUNUUUUUUUUUUUCCUGACCAUCCGAUUCAAAAUAGAUGAUACUGAUUUAUCCAUCCACAAUCAAUUUUAGCAGAUGAUUUGAAAAUGAGAAGUCAACUUGAUGCUGCAAAUAAUUAAAAAUUUAAAAAUAUUUGAAAAAUUAUAUAUUUUAAAUUUUUAUUCUCUUUUCUUCUUUUUUCUUCCUCAUUUUUCUUCUCCUUUCUUUCCAACCACUGCCCUCCUCUUCUCUCACUGGCUUGACUACUACCAAUCAAGCCUUACCUCUCCCCUGCCAUCUCAACCACCUCCUUCUCGAUCUUUGGCCAAUGAGCAAGCCCCGUCCACUCUACUUUUUCAUUUUCUCCUUUGACUAUUGCAGCCGCUUCUCCCCUGCCACCUCCUUCUCGACCUCCAGUUAGUAAUCAAGCUCCACCCCACACUCCAUUUCACCUUCACCUCCGGUACUAUAGCCACCUUGAUCAUCUCCUUCUCAAUCUCCGACCAAUGAAAUCCAACCCCGCUAGACCCUUUUUUUUUUUCUUCGCCUCUAAUUGUUGUGGCUGCCUCUCCCCUCCAUCUUGACCGCCUCUGAUCAAGCUCUGCUCCUCCCUUGCCAUCUUGACUGCACUACUGCAGUUGCCUCUCCCUGCUGCCUUGAUUGCCUCUUUCUCGAGAUCCGACCAUCCAUUCAUCCGGUUCUAAUUUUGACGGCCUAAAGCCCGAUGAGCAACUUAAG
This 54073-nucleotide long non-coding RNA is filed under the name Elaeis guineensis (African oil palm). Its description in RNAcentral is "long non-coding RNA (EGUI_LNC045318)". Lineage: Eukaryota; Viridiplantae; Streptophyta; Magnoliopsida; Arecales; Arecaceae. The record is from RNAcentral.